UUUUUUUUUUGGUAGGUCAUGUUGCCUCAGUGCAUUCACAUGAUAUUUCCUUUCUGAUUACAGGGCGCAUUUACUCUUAGGAAAGAAAUAGAACUUGAGCGACCGGGUAUAGCUAGCACAGCGAUUAGGCCAGACAACAAGAUCGCUGCAACUGCUGGUUGGGAUCACAGGUUUUUCCCCAUUCUUGGCUUUUACAGUUUACUGUCGACUAGGGAUGACAAUGUCCUGUAUCAACUUGUCAUUUGUCAGUAAUUAAAAUUAAUCUUAGCAUGGGGUUCCAGUGAUCCUGGAUGCUGCUGAAAGAAUGUGGAGGAUUCCCAACUCAUCAUCUCUUCCAGCCGUUGGCUUUUAAGUUUGCAAUUGUUGCAUUUGUGUGAGCCUUCUGUGUUUUUUCUCUUGCAGGAUUCGAGUGUAUAACUACAGCAAAGGAAAUGCUCUAGCUGUGUUAAAGUAUCACAGUGAUUCGGUAUGCAACUCGUUCAUCUGAUCGUGCUACUAACUUUCCCUUCAUAUUUGGUAUGACAACUUAGCCAAUUGAUACGGAUCCUCCAUGAGCUAUUCCCUAUACUAAAAAAAUGUAGUAAUGUCCUACCUCCGUCCUCAAAUAUAUGACGUUUAUCAUUCUCUCAUCUAUCAGAACCAAAAUAUAUAUGCAUUUGUUCCUGCUUGGUGCUAGAUUGAUAUCGUGUCCAGUUCCUUCACAUUCAGUUGGCCACUUUCUGCAGAUGAUGCUCUAAUUAAUGCUCAUCUUUUUGCUUGCAGUGCAACGCGGUGACUUUUUCGUCUGACUGCAAGCUGAUGGCUUCCUGCUCGACGGAUACCACGGUUGCAUUGUGGGAGCUCUAUCCCCCGAAAUCCUAAAGCAAGUUAGACAUCAUAAAAACGGAUGAGGCCUCAUGUUAAUUUACUUAGGCCUUCACUGCUGAAAAGUAGAAUAGUGGAUGCUACAUUUUUGCUUGUAUGUUAGUGAAGGAGCAUUUGGGCGGUUUGUCUCGCUGUGAGUGUUGUUUCUGCAUACUGAAAUUUUCGUGCCUCGGUGUAGUGGAAAUCUAAAAUUAUAUCGCAAUCGACUAAGUGAGGCUGCUGAGAAUUUCUGCAUGGGCCAUGCCUGACGAUGUACUUGGGUUAGGCCUUGGGCCGUGUUGUGUCGUGUAAGUUGGGCCCAGCGCAUGAUGAACUUUAAAGCGGCACUGAAGAAGAAGAACAGAGAGAAGGACUUAGUACUUGGGUUAGGACUUGGGCCGUGUAGUGUUGUUUGAGUUGGGCCCAAUCCGUGGACUUCAAAGAAAGGGCCCGCAAUCCUUCCUUCUACCGUAAAGCUUUGUAAUGUUUGUUUGCACACAAACGGUUCUAAGGCCCGUUUGUUUCUGCUUAUAAGCGGAUUAUUGGUGGAAAUAAGCGAGAAUCCCGCUAAAUAUUUUGCUUAUUUUCACUAAUUCUCGCUUACGUAGUAAGUCGCUUCAGAGAUUUGAACUACAAGAAGCGAAAAGCGAGAAAAUCUUCAAUUAGAUUAUAAUCCAAACGUUGCUGGGAGAAGCGUACCCAAACAGGCCUAAAUGUGAUCGAUCGCGCCACGAGAAGUCUCACGAGCAUAAAAACAUAAAGGCGAUUACAGAACAGCAAUUGCUGCCUUUACAAUUAUAUUAUCAUAACCUUCGACAUUCUAAAAGUCCAUGAUUUUCAAAAAAAAAUCCAUUAUAAGCGAGACACGAACAGCGAAAGAAAAUGAGACGAGACGGAGAAGUAUGCUAUCUCCUUUCCUUUCGGUCACUCCAUGACGAUGGUCUCCAAGACCGUCAUGCCAUGGACCGCCCCACCCCUCUGCUGCUGAGCUUGUUCCCGCCGCUGCGACGUGAGCGGGAACUCCUUGGCGACUGCCGCCAGCAUCGCACGUCUCGUCGCCGCGGCGUCGCCGGAGGAGGAGGCGGAGGUGGCGCUGCCCCUCGAGGUUGGCGACGACGACGCGGCCGUGGUGCCGUCCAGGGUGCCGUCGAACGGCGUCUCGCAGAAGGCCAUCAUGGGCACGAGCCUCUUCUCCACCGUCGCAGCCAUUGGGGAGAGGAUUCGGUUUUGAUGCGCUUGUUUAAGCUCGAGGGAUCGUCUCAACCGCGGGCGGGGUCCUCCGCCGCCCCUCGAGGCCGGCGACGACGACGCGGCCGUGGUGCCGUCCAGGGUGCCGUCGAACGGCAACUCGCAGAAGGCCAUCAUGGGCACGAGCCUCUUCUCCACCGACGCCGCCAUUGGAGAGAGGAUUCGUUUUCGAUGCGCUUUGGUUUAGCUCGAGGGAUCGUCUCAACCGCGGGCGGGGUUUAUAUGAUCGACGAGGCGCCCGUGGGUUGCCGACUCGUUCCCGGCUCGGAAGCCGAGAUCGUGCUGGGAUGGUAGGCAUAGGGGGUCUGGGAAUUGGAGCCGGACUCCUCGUGCAACCCGUGUGUGGAUCGGCCGGAAGACCCUCGUGCGGAUCGAUCGCUGGCUGAGUCAUGUGUCCGGCGACGGGGGGCGGUUUUUGGAUAUUCCAUAAGAAAUUAGCUCAUCCUGUGAUUCUUUUGCACAAGCCUACCAGGAAUUUUUUUAGUUAUAUGACUAGAUAGAUACAUGUAAUGUAUUAGGAUAGUAGCUAUGAAGGAUUGAAGGGCAAAUUUACUUGAAUCAGUGUAACAUUUCAUGUCUGAACUGCACCUGCAGAUCACGGCUUUGUCGAAUUGGAACUGUGCUGAAAGCACGAUUCAUCUUUUCAGUAAAUUUUAGGAUUGAUUUGAACUGGAUCAAAAUUCCCUAUGUAAAACUCCCCUUAUAACUGUACUAACUAUCAACUUAAAAUUAUGCAUUUCAGACAGCUUCAGCGCAUUAUAUAUUACAGAUCCAAGAGAUGCCAAGUGCAGAAUAAUUUUGGGCAUUGAUCAAUUUUUAUGUUUCUGAUGUUGAUACACUGAUGCAGCCAGGGCAGGGAUGGGACGUGUAAAUGCUGGGUGAUUGAAGAAGCUGGCCUCUCACGGUAUGACUUCUUGUUCGUGUACUCUACUAGCAGCUGGAACAAAACUUUUGUUUGGGCACAAUAUGCAGGUCCGUGUAUCUCCUUUAUGAAAAAGAGACUAGAGAUCUUUGACUAAAUAUCUCUGAAGAAUGUCAAUGUAAAGCGAAUGCACGCAUAUAGAAAUAGACAGGUGCGCACAUAGACAGGUUGUUUUGAACAUUUGAAGUCAUAAAAUUCAUCAAGGGAGUCUUUACUAGACAGCUUCCAUUCUUACCCCUGAAUGCAGAACAACUAUCAUCAAGGGAGCAAACUUGGAGUCAUACUUCUUAGUAUAAUUUGUGGUUAUUGUGGGCUUUGCCUUGUAUGGAUCUGGGAUCGUGUCACUGACAUGUGGGCCACCACAUGUUGAUGGCAGAUUCAAGGGAUUUUCAAAAAUUGCAGUGCCAUGGGAGGAAUUACCUUAACCCAUUCUUUUUAACUUCUUCUAGGAGGCCCAUAUUAACAGUCAAAACAAGCACAUACCAUUUCUGCAAGAUGUCACUUGUGAAGUCUCCUUCGCUUCCACAUUCCGGGAGAUCGGGCUCAAACUGCCCAACUAGUGAUGUAGAGCCACAAAGAGUAGCCAUUGAAGAAAAUGCAGAAUCUCACGUUGUAAAUCCUACAGAAGGUCCCCAAGAACAUGGAGAAGGUAUUGUGCAAUCACUCUUGUAAACUCAGAUGAUUCUUUCUUCCUCGUUGACUUCAUCCUUGAUCCUAGGCCUUGGAGAUUUUGUAACCUAUACAUGUAUAGGCAAAGAUUUCCAAAUGGGCCAGACCCGUUGGGCGGCCCGAGGCCCGACACUAAAAAGCACGGCACGAGCACGGACCCGGCACGAAGUGAAUAGUGCCAGGGCUGGCCCGGCACGAUGAUAGUGCCGGGCCUGGGCCGCCUCCCCGGCACGCUGGGCCAGCACGAGCCCGGCACGAUUUUUUGGCCGGCCCGAUGCGGCCCGAUCUAUCUACCAUAUAAAUCUAGAACCCUAAUUUAUCCUUCAAUUUUCCCCAUUUCCCCAAGAUUCCAGCCUCCAGCUCCUCCCACCUUCCUAGCUUCCUCCCGAGACCUUCCUGCUUGCUCUGCGCGGGAGGCCAGCCGUCGCCGCCAGGGGCCGACGCGGGGGGCCGGCCGCCGCCGCCGCCGCUAGGGGCUGACGCGGGGGGCCGGCCGCCGCCGUCGCCGCCGCCGCCAGGGGCUGACGCGGGGGGCCGGCCGCUGCCGCCGUCCGCGGGGGACCGGCCGCCGCCGCCGCCACCAGGGGCUGAGGCGGGGGGCCGGCCGCCGCCGCCGCCGCCAGGGGCCGACGCGGUGGGCCGACCGCCGCCGCCGCCGCCGCCGGGGCCAACCGUCUGCGGAGCCGGCCGCCGCUGCUAGUGCCGGGCCGGGCGCUAGCACGGCAUGGCCCGUCGUGUUGUGGGCUGGCCCGGCCCGAUAAAAAGGUCGUCGGGCCGGGCCUGGGCUGCCUCCUCGGCACGCAGUGCCAGCCCAGCCCGGCACGAAAACCCUUCGGGCCUAAUAGUGCCGGGCCUAUUAGUGCCGAGCCAGGAUGGGUUAGUGCCGAGCUAGGGUCGGGCGGCCCAUUUGGAAAACUAUGUGUAUAGGCACGUGUGCCAGUUGAGCUAGUACUUUGAGAUGAGCACGCACUAUUCCUACAUGUCCUUGCAAAUCGGAGCUCUCAAAGUCCACACAUGGCAAGCUUUCCAAAAAAAAAGGUCCACAAAUGGCUCCUCCUCUAAAGCCAAUAACAGGCAAUAUACAACAUAUCGCUGUGGAACUUCAACUGUCCACGGCGGGUGUACGUUCCUUUGUGGAAUUCACGCUUGAUAUUGUGCAACGUACUCAGAAUUACCAAUUAAUAGUAGGCGAAUAUACGCGAUCAAGACUUUUACACCAUUCUCUCAUGAGAAAUUUGCAACAACUUGGUUGACGAAUGAACACGCCAUCAAGAUCGACCAUUGAAACCAUGCAUGGUGGUGGCUUCUGCCUAUAAAUUCCUGGUAAGGUUGAUGCUUUUGAAAGCACACACACAGACACAGUCGAGAACACAUCCACACAACUAGCUACCUACUACUCUACUAAGCUCGCAAUGGCCUCCUCCAAGUCCAUAGCCUCCCCUGCGCUGGUGUUCCUCGCCAUGGCUCUCAUGCUCGCGGCCUGUGCCCAGGCCUUGGCACCAGCACCAACACCAGCUCCGGCGCCGUCGCAAGGUUCAUGCCCUCCAGGCUUCAAAAGCUACCUCGACUUGACAGAUUUCAUUCGAGGUGCCGGUCGAAUGGCCAUCACCUUUGUCGACCCUGCUUUGGUGCCCGUGGUUCGGAGCACCCUGACCCUCAUCCCACACACGGGCCUCAAGCUAUGUGUGUGCUUCAAGUCGAAUGUCAUCUCCCUCCCCAUCCAAUGUCUGUCAUACUAAGCAUGGAACAACAAGCAUAUAUGUGUGCUGCUUGUUAGCUACAUAUAUUACUAUAUCGAUAUGCACGAAUAAGUUGUUGUUACCUGCAUGCAUGUGUUGCCUAUACCAUGCUGAUCGACUCUGAUCUGCAUGUGUUUAUGCGACAGUGAGGUAAACAAUAGUUGACCUGCUUAAUUAUGUAUCGUGUGACACGUUUGUGUCAUUGAUUGUAACUGCUAUGCUCAAAUACCAUAUAUAAAAAUACAUGAACGUAGCAUGCCCUACUACUACUACUACUAUUAUUAUUAAUAAUGUUGUUGUUGUUGUUGGCACUGCCAUUAAGUAUGCAUGCUAAUCAUAAAGUUCAUGAUAUGGUGGACUAGUGGAAUUUCAACAUUGUCUUUUAGCACUGUUGUUACCCAUCCUUUUGUAAGAAAUACAAGGACCUCCUAGGCGUGCGACAAAGGGCACAUUCAUGUGAGUGGUGGGUGUGCCAUGUGCGUGAAGGAUAGCGUAGUCGUGGCUCACAGGCAUGGAUGUGAGGGUGGUGCGGGGCCUACAGGGAGAAGAAUGGGACGGCGGUGGAGAAAGGAGGUGAGGAAGAAGAAAGAAGAGAAGGACGAGGGAAGAAGAAGAAAGAUCUGAGCAAUGGGGCUAGAGACCGAAAUAACAUUUUAUCGUCUUUCUCUCUCCUACUCAGCCUAACAAUAUAAUACUAUUUCAAUCGUUGGCUACCAUCAAAUUUUCACAAAACAAGAGUGUGUUCCAGCAUAGAGCGUGAUCAAUGAUAUCCUCUAGCCCAUCACCUUCACUUUGCAAUGUCUUGUAGUAAUUUAUACGGAGAUACCUCCAAAUCCAGAACGGAGGUUAACUGUGGGAGAUUGCAAGUUUUGUAAGUUGCAUGUUAUGGCUAGAUGUGUGGGUCAACUUGUACAUGCAUGUAUUUUUCUUAGGGUGGGCGCAUGCAUGUCUUGGAGGCAUGUGCACGAUGCAUGGCGUUUCUUGUUCAUAUUAUUUUUUAAGGGAAUUAUGGUAGGCAAAAUGUCAGUCUAAAUUUGUCCUUAAAGAUGUGGCAAACAACAAAUUCAUAGCAGAAAGGAACAACUCAACACAAUAAAGAGUACCACGGAUUUCAUCACGAGAGAAACACAACUCCCAUACAAACAUUGGAUCCAGGCAGGUCAAAAAACCAAAACUUGUACAAGCCGAAGAGCAAUCCACAAUUUUCCAUAGAUAUAGUGUAUGUCUAGAUGUAUAAUAAUAUCUAUGAAUCUAAAAAAUAAAAACAACUUACAAUUUUGAACGGAGGGAGUAGUACUUUGAGAUGGACACGCCGUACGCAGUAUUCCUAGCUACGACUUACUUUGCAAAUCUAUAAAUCUAUAAGCUCUCAAAGUCCACAUACAAAUGGCAAACUUCUUGGCACCUCUUAUAAAGCCAAGCUACAAUACAAGAGAACGAUGCUUUUGAGCUUCAACGUCCACAGCGGCCGUACGGGAAUUUACGCUUGAUAUAGAUGCACCAAAUUACAAUUAGUAUGGGCAAUAAUGUACUAUUUAUACUAUAUGUAUGAUGAAUAAGUUUGUUGUUUAACUGCAUCGGCAUGCACGUGAGAGGGGAUGCUCGCCCAGCACUGGAAACCAGCGCUGCUUCAGUUCGGAGUUCAGAUGUUGCAGAUCACAGUGGAUCGUUUUCCCUCACUUCAAGCAAUACAGAGCGCACACCACAGUUGGUCAGUUGCAGUGAUGCCUUCCAAACUUGAUGCAGAAUUAGACUGCAAGAUCACCACAAUCCACAAUGCCUGCACAUUAUAUACUUCUUCCUCGCACCUCUCCGAAAGAACAAAAGAACACCAACAAUCCUGGGCAGAACCAUUCAUAUACAAUCCAAGUUAUCAAUUCCCAACAAAACAAAACAAUUCAAAUUUCUGUUUCCCUAACAGUCAGUAUAAUAGAUACUACAGAAGCAGAAUGCAGUAAUUUUUUGUAAUAUGGCUGGCAAUUUUUCUCUAACAAUUUUCUACUGCAUAAACUUCUCUGGCUGCCGUAAAACGCAAAAAUGGUACAGGGAAUACAGUUUUUUUUUCACGGUCAGGAAAUACUGAAUAUUUGUCAUUAGCAGAGGAUUAUUGAUAGGCUUUACAGAGAUAAUCACCAAAGUCGGGCCGUCAUAGACUACAUUGCUGCCGGUAAUCUAGAACGGCAUGCAGGAAGCUAGUGAGAUAGUCAUGGUUUAGUCAUAGGCUAUCCUUUUUUUAUAGUAGCUAGGUAAGCCCACAUCAAGGAGCAUCACAACUCUGGAAUUGAAGAGCAGGCACUGCCUCUGCAAUGUUCAAACUUCGAACUCCACGGACAAGACAGAUAUGAGAGAAGCAUUUGAAAUUCAUGUAUUUAAAAGAAGCAAACUAAAAUACAAGUUACCGAUGCGCCUCCCCUUUCUUCAAUUUAAUCUCCUUGUUGAGAUCUGGUAUUUCUUCUCAUCCCUUUCUUUUCCUCCUAGAGCAUUCACUAACAGAGUAUAAAGAUACGGUUUUGGAGCCUGAGAAAUUGUUUGUAGAGAUAAACAUUUGAAGAAAGUGUAUCUCCAGGAUUGUCCCAUAGCAAUUGUGGCCGCAAGUACCAAAAAUACCUCUGAAGAAGUUCUCUUCUAUUUCUAGGCAGAAAGUGAUAAGCUAGGUGUUGCCUCUCAUUGAUGAAGCUCUUGACAGGUUCUGAGAGCACAUGAACUGGGACGGAGCCUGGAAGCUGGUCCAAUCCUUUCUUCAGCUCAAUACAGAUGCUAGUAAAUGUCGGGAUGAGCUCAAUAUCACAGGUGACACACAACCAAUAAAUUGUCCACGAGAAAUAUCAGGGAUCACUGGUGUCUAUACAUGUUCUGCACACUGAAAAAUUAUCCGAGUAACUGCUAAUGAGCAGCACCAUAAAUAUCAGGGAUCGGGGAUGUUCAGAAUUAUUGAACUCAUGUUGCAUUCCGACAAUGGAUGGGGAUUGCAGAAUAAUGAAAGAUGGAUUGCCGCUUACUAUGGAGGCCAUGGUCUUGUCCCCUUUGGCACUCUAACGACACUACAUUUCAGCAGAGAAGCCUUUUGUCAUGCUCAAUCUUCAUGCUCUUCUUUGGCCUUCAUACUCUAAUUACGGUAGGCAAAAUGUCAAUCUAAAUUUGUCAUUAAAGAUGUGGCAAAUAACGGAUUACAUAGCAGAAAGGAACAACUCGACAUAACAAAGAAUACCACGGAUUUCAUCACGAGAGAAACACAACUCCCAUACAAACACGUAUAUUUUCUUUUAUUCCUAAUCUGUGUUGAUUUUCUAGCCUAUACAUGUUAGCUGGGCCAAACUCGGCACGAACAUUCUUUUUAAGAUCAGCGAAAGAAAAUGAGAUGAGACGGAGAAGUAUGCGAUCUCCUUUCCUUUCGGUCACUGCAACACGAUGGUAUCCAAGAUCGUCAUGCCAUCGACCGCCCCACCCCUCUGCUGCUGCUGCUGAGCUUGUUCCCGCCGCUGCGACGUCAGCGGGAACUCCUUGGCGACUGCCGCCAGCAUCUCGCGUCUCGUCGCCGCGGCGUCGCCGGAGGAGGAGGCGGAGGUGUCGCGGCCGUGGAGCCGGACUCCUCGUGCAACCCGUGUGUGGAUCGGCCGGAAGACCCUCGUGCGGGUCGAUCGCUGGCUGAGUCAUGUCUCCUUGUGGAUUUACUGAAGCACGCACUACUUAGAGACAAUCCGCCACCCCCGCCGGACAUUGGAGAGGCCGCGGCAGCGACCGAUGGCGUCGGGGGUGGUGCCGUUGAGGCGGUUGAGUGUGAGGAUGAGAACCUGGAGGUUGCCGAGCCGAAAGAAGGUGCUGGGGAUGCUCCCCUCGAGGGCGUGGGAGUGGAGGUUGAGACCUGUAGAGGCCGAGCCCGGCGGACAGCACGCGGAGCGCGGGGAGCCCAACGAGCCACCCGGGGAGCGCGCCGGUGGUGUUGUUGCCCGAAAUCUGGAGCUCCUGGAUCGCCCUGAAGCCCCUGAGCUCGUCGCGUCAGGGCUCGUCUCCUGUUUGCCAUUCUCUUUGGCCCAUGGACUUUUUGUUCUGUUACAGAACUGGGUAAACACAGGGAUGGAUCCAGCCCAUGAUUAAGUCGCAGCCUGCUACUAGGUGGACCUUUGCAGCUCCAGGAAAAAGUCCCAAUUUGCACUGAAAGUCCAGUGGUGGCACGGGCUGCCACUGGGCCUAUGCUGGGUCCGCCCCUAGGUAACCACAUGGGUUGGCUUUGCUGGUGAAAUUGAUGGCAAGAUUGAGCUCCAUAAAGCAUCGUGACUUGGGUGUAGGGGUAGAACGAAGAGAGCCUAGUGGAGGCAUAGGUUACAGAUUUUAGAUUCAAAUGAACUUUGAUCUUAUUUCAUGAAACUACAAAGUUACAUGCAAUAGUAUGCUCUCGCUCAACAUUUGGAUUGCAUUAGCCCUCCCCUCAAUGAUAAGCAUGAACAACACUGUUUAUGUUAUCGUGAUGGACAACUGCUGCCACGAGAGGUGGCUAAUAAGCACAGCACAGAGCACGCCACACUCUUUAAAUUCAGAAUUGAGACUAAUACAAACCAUGAAAUAUAAACGCAGGAAGUUUAUUUGCAUCGUUUAUUGUUCUUCAAAUUUCAUGAUACGUGUAUGCUAAUUAGCUUUCGUAUUAUGUCAUAAUCUAAUCCUUUGUGCAAUAUAUAGAAUAUUAGUAGAAAUUGAGGGAAACAUGGAGCAUAAAAGAGUAUAUGGAUCUUCUUAAAGUCUAUUUCAAUGUAUCGAGCUUGUUGCCUUUCAAGUAAAAAGAAUCAACUGGCGUCGUCACAGUAAGUCGAGCCUUGUGAGAGAUUUGAAGUUCAAAUAUAUCACACCCGCUUUUAAAAUAAAAUCAAGUACUACCCAUAUGUAUGUCAGGAUCUAAUUUCAUACAUAUAGUGAUAUUAUUAGUGAAUAACAAUAAUAAUAUCACGUAAAGAGAUAAAUAAAGACUUACGAGUCUAACAGAGAUACACAGCUUAAACCUUGGAAACGGAGGCUCCAAACUUCACAAGCAAACAACUGGGGGUUACGUACACCUAAAACUCAGCAUCAUCUUCACAACUUCACACCUUCAUCUUCUAAGCAGCAGUAAGCAACGGUGAGUACACUUAUAGCUGGUACUCAGGCCACGCGAAAUAACCAGAAUAACGAUUUAAGUCCAUCUUCAAGUUUAAUUAAUCAUGUGAGGAUCCAAACCGCUCUUAACCGUGAGCACAGCUAAUAUACUAGUUUACACUCUACAGAGGUUGUACACUUUUACCCACAAGUCAUGUAAAAGUUCAAAAAAAUUUGGACCCAACCAUGCGGUGCUAGCUAGGCACCAUACCACACUUUCAAGAUGUGAUUGCAUAGGGACGUUACGAGGCCUUGACAAAAAUUCCCUAGUAAGUGGUAACCCGCUGAGGUUUUCGGAGCGCUAGUAAAGCAUAAAAUCUCCCUAGUAGGUAUAGUGUUUUAGCAAAGCCCACUUCCCAAAAGGACUGGGUUAUACCCCAUCUGCCGCCGCCCCUCUUGCUCUUUCGGUAAGAUUACCCCAGACUAGAGUCUCUAAUUAAUUAGCCAAGAUCAGAGCGAUGAUUGUUCUUGUGGUUGUACUGUUUUCCCGGGUGGUUCUCCAUAUUCCAAUUAACAUUAUCAUGAUAUUAUGAACAAAGCAUAGGUAGAAAGAUGGUUAGGGAUACUUGCCUUUCUCCAACAAAAAGUUACUCUUACUUCCGAGCAUCGAUCCUUCUACUUGAAGCAAGCACCAGUACAAACAUACAAGCAAACAAACGAGUACAACUAAGAACAAUACACAAAAAUAAAAGAAAAGCUUUAACAGAACGUACUAAAGGAUAGGGCUCGAUCUAAGGAUCACGCAAACGCAGAAACGCUAAGAACGGAACUAUGGUUUAAAAUAUAAAGCUAUCGAGAGAUUUGGAGUAUAAAAGAAAAGACAAGAGCUACUUGCUACAUUUAUUUUAGUUGAGAAAAUAAUUUAAAGAUCUUUAAGAGAAAUACCCUUAAUUGGAAUUAAUCUAGUCAUAUUUAUAUUUACAUAAGAAAAGAUGUAAAGCUUAGUCCAAUUUUAUUUAUAAAUAUUUAAGUACAAUUUAUGUAAAUUAAUAUUUGAGUUUAUAAGAAGCAUGUAAAAGCAUCUAAGCAUAUAACUUUAUAUUUCGAGUUCAACUAAGCAGAUUAGUCUCUAACCCUAAUUAAAAUUUAUGCAUGUACAAGGUCCAGGGGGGAGGGGGAAGUGGAGGCGGCAGGCGGUGCCAUCAAUGGCAACCGGUGGUGGGGCGACGGUUUCCGGUGGAAGAGAGGGGAAACGACGGGGCAGCGGCUUGCGCGUGUGAGGCGGAGGGUCGCGUGGAGCUGAGGGGGCGAGCGGGGAGUGCAAGUGGCACCGGGAGGGAGAGACAUAGCGGCGCGGUAGAGACCGAACGGCAGUGGCCGGUCGGAGGUAGAAGGAGCUCCUGACAGGUGGGGCCACCUGUCAGUGAGGGGGAAGGGAGGGAGAUGGGCCGAGGAGGUCGGCCUGCUGGGCCAAACGGAGCGGGUCGGGAGCACAGGUGCGACUCGGCCCAAAAAGGAAAAGGAUUUUCUUUUUUUUCAGUAGUAAUUCUCGUGAAAGAAAAUCUAGAGAAAAUCCAGAUAUAACUCAAUUAAUUCAUGGAAAAAAAUGCUCUAAAAAUCCCAAAAAUUUCAUAAAAUUUCCUAUAGACAAUUUGGGACACGAGAAAUCCAAAUAAAAUACUUGGAACUCGUGAAAAGGAUUUUAGAGCCUUCCAAAAAUUGGAUUUAGGUCUUAGAAAAUGAAAAUAAAUUCCAGGAAAACUAGAAAAUUCUCAAAAGGGUCUAGACAACGUCUAAACACACUUUUGAAACUUUUUUCACUCAUAAAACACCAAGAUGCAUUGGCAUGAAUGCAUAGACACAGAACAAUCUUAUUUAAUUUCGAAAAACAAAUAAUUAUUUUUUCUACACUAAAUUUCCUGGGAAGAAAAUAAGUGUUGAGAAAAAUUUUAAAAUUAUAGGAAAUUAUUGUUUAAUUAUUCCUUUUUAAUGAUAUCCUGAAAUUCGAAAAUUUUAGGGUAUGACAACAUACUUAUGAGUUAUUUAUAAUUCUUGAAAGGAAUCAUUUGAUGUAGAAUAUGAUGUACAGAUGUAGCAUGAUCACAAGCAAAAACAUUUAGGAUAAUAAAAAUGUGAUAAUAUGUGAUCUAUUAAAAAAUUAGUUGCAAAAAGCCACAUGACAUUCCUCUGUUUUGUACAGAUCACACAAAUGAUCCCUUUUAAUGUUGCAAUUGAACAUGUUUCAUUUAUUAGCACAUAUAUACUAGACUUAGGUUUUCAUUUUUUUAACAUUUUUUAAGAACCCACGUGCAUGCAAACUACAAACGGGUGUAGGGGCACGUAGGCCGGGAGAGGUAUAUCGCUCGGAGCUGGAUCAUUGCAAGUUUUGUACUCCCCUCCGUUUCAAAUUGGAGGUCGUUUUGAUUUUUCUACAUUUAUAGAUAUUUUUCUACAUUCAUAUAUAUUAUUAUGCAUCUACACGCUAUAUCUAGAUGGAUAGAAAAAAAUUAUACACCUAGAAAAGUUAAAACAAUCUGCAAUUUAGUAAGAAGAGAGUACGUUGCAUUAUAUGCCGAGAUGAUGGCGAGAUGCGUGGGUCAAUUUGUAUACGCAAACUCAUGCAUAUACGUCGAUCUUUUUCUUCAGGCGCGCACUCUUCAAGGCGUGGAAAUUAAGCUGCAUGCAUGGCUCUUCUCGUUCGUAUAAAGAAUGGAUAAGCAACAACGUGCCUGCAUGCUGACUCUGGUAUAUCGUAUAUAUUCCUCAUCCUUGAUCCUAGGCCUUGGAGAUUUUGUAACCUAUACAUGUAUAGGCACGUGUGCCAGUUGAGCUAGUACUUUGAGAUGAGCACGCACUAUUCCUACAUGUCCUUGCAAAUCGGAGCUCUCAAAGUCCACAGAUGGCAAGCUUUUUGUUUUUUUAAUAAAAAGUCCAAAUCCGAGCUCUCAAAGCCAAUAACAAGCAAUAUACAACAUGGCUACCCCGUGCAACCUUGAGAAUUAUGAAUCAAGAUCACAAGAUGCUAAUCCAAUGGAUAGGGUCAGACUUGGUAUUAUUUUGCACUUAAGCGCCCCCCUCCCCCCCAAACACACACACGCCGACCACCUCCAUAGGAUGGGGGGCUUAAGUGCAAAAUAAUGUCAUCUCUGACCCUAUCCAUUGGAUUAGCAUCUUGUGGCCUAGCUCGAUUCAUAGUUUCCAAGAUUGCAUGGGGUAGAUAGUUUCCAGCAUUGUUGUGGAACUUCAACUGUCCACGGCGGGUGUACGUUCCUUUGUGGAAUUCACGCUUGAUAUUGUGCAAUGUACUCAGAAUUACCAAUUAAUAGUUGGUGACUAAUACGCGAUCAAGAUUUUUACACCAUUCUCUCAUCAAGAUCGACCAUUGAAACCAUGCAGCAAGGUGGUGGCUUCCGCCUAUAAAUUCCUGGUAAGGUUGAUGCUUUUGAAAGCACACACACAACUAGCUACUACUCUACUAAGGUCGCAAUGGCCUCCUCCAAGUCCAUAGCAUCCCCUGCGCUGGUGUUCCUCGCCAUGAUGGCUCUCAUGCUCGCGGCCUGUGCCCAGGCCUUGGCACCAGCACCAACACCAGCUCCGGCGCCGUCGUCGCAAGGUUCAUGCCCUCCAGGCUUCAAAAGCUACCUCGACAUGACAGAUUUCAUGCGAGGUGCCGGUCGAGUGGCCGUCACCUUUGUCAACCCUAAUUUGAUGCCCGUGGUUCAGAGCAUCCUGACCCUCAUCCCACACACGGGCCUCAAGCUAUGUGUGUGCUUCAAUUCGAGUCAUGCCAUCUCCCUCCCCAUCCAAUGUGUGUCAUCCUAAGCAUGGAACAACAAGCAUAUGUGUGUGCUGCUUAUUAGCUACAUAUAUUACUAUAUCGAUAUGCACGAAUAAGUUGUUGUUACCUGCAUGCAUGUGUUGCCUAUACCAUGCUGAUCGACUCUGAUCUGCAUGUGUUUAUGCGACAAUGAGGUAAACAAUAGUUGACCUGCUUAAUUAUCUAUCGUGUGACACGUUUGUGUCAUUGAUUAUAUAACUGCUAUGCUCAAAUACCAUAUAUAAAAAUACACGAAGCAUGCUACAUGCAUGCCCUAUUAUUAUUAUUUUUGUUGUUAUCAUUGUUGUUGGCACUGUCAUUACGUAUGCAUGCUAAUCAUAAAGUUUCAUGAUAUGGUGGACUAGUGGAAUUUCGACACUGUCAUUUAACUGUGGGAGAUUGCAAGUUUUGUAAGUUGCAUGUUAAGGCUAGAUGGCUGGGUCAACUUGUGCAUGCAUGUAUUUUUCUUAGGGUGAGCGCAUACAUGUCUUGGAGACAUGUGCAUGGUGCAUAGUCGUUUCUUGUUCAUAUUAUUUUUCAAGGGUACUACAGUAGGUAAAAUGUCAAUCUAAAUUUGUCAUUAAAGAUGUGGAAAACAAUGGAUUACAUAGUACAAAACAACUCGACACGAACACUCGUUUUAAGAUCAGCGAAAGAAAAUGAGACGAGACGGAGAAGUAUGCGAUCUCCUUUCCUUUCGGUCACUGCAAGACGAUGGUCUCCAAGAUCAUCAUGACAUGGACCGCCCCACCCCUCUGCUGCUGCUGCUGAGCUUGUUCCCGCCGCUGCGACGUCAGCGUGAACUCCUUGGCGACUGCCGCCAGCAUCGCGCGUCUCGUCGCCGCGGCGUCGCCUGAGGAGGAGGCGGAGGUGGCGCCGCCCCUCGAGGCCGGUGACGACGACGCGGCCGUGGUGCCGUCCAGGGUGCCGUCGAACGGCGCCUCGCAGAAGGCCAUCAUGGGCACGAGUCUCUUCUCCACCGACGCCGCCAUUGGGAGAGGGUUCGGUUUCGAUGCGCUUGGUUUAGCUCGAGGGAUCGUCUCAACCGCAGGCGGGGUUUAUAUGAUCGAGGCGCCCGUGGGUUGCCGACUCGUUCCCGGCUCGGAAGCCGAGAUCGUGCUGGGAUGGAAGACAUAGGGGUUCUGGGAAUUGGAGCCGGACUCCUCGUGCAACCCGUGUGUGGAUCGGCCGGAAGACCCUCGUGCGGGUCGAUCGCUGGCUGAGUCAUGUCUCCGGCGACGGGGGCCAGUGGCGUCGGGGGUGGUGCCGUUGAGAUGGUUGAGUGUGAGGAUGAGAACCUGGAGGUUGCCGAGCCGAAAGAAGGUGCUGGGGAUGCUCCCCUCGAGGGCGUUGGAGUGGAGGUUGAGCACCUGUAGCUCCGAUAAGAGGCCGAGCCCGGCGGACAGCACGCGGAGCGCGGGGAGCCCAGCGAGCCACCCGGGGAGCGCGCCGGUGAGGUUGUUGCCCGAAAUCUGGAGCUAGCUCCUGGAUCGCCCUGAGGCCCCUGAGCUCGUCGCGUCGGGGAUGGCGCCGGAGAGCGCGCUGUUGGAGAGGUUGAGGAACCGGAGGCUCGACGCCCCCGCGAGGGCCGCGGUGACGGCGCUGGUGAGCGCGUUCAUGGAGAGGUCGAGGAACUCGAGGCCGGGGACCGCGCCGAGCGACCACGGGACGCCGCCGCGGAGCGAGUUCGCGGAGGGGUCGGGGCGCGCGAGGGCCGGGAGCGCGCCGGCGGCGGAGAACUCCCCCGGAGUCCCCGGUGCGGCAGCUCGAUCGUGGUGGCCGCGCCGGCGCCGCCAGCGGAGUAGGUGACGCCGCGCCUGGGCCCGACCCCGCCGGCGCCUAGUCCCGCCGCAGCGCCUGCAUUGCUGCGACAUCCCCUCGCGCCGGUCGAACUUGAGCUGGAGCUCCAUCGGCAUGUCCCAGUGCCCCUGUCCCUGCUGAACACCGCUACCGUCCUCGAGCACUAGGAUCCUAGGCAACGCUGUCGCCGGCGGCCACCCACGGGGCGAAGGUAUAGUGGAACGGCGUCGCUAAUCUUGUUGAAGGGCCGCCGGGCACCUCGCUUAGGCCCGGUGCGACUCUGCUCCGAUUAGCCUGCCAAGCAGAGCAGGGGCUCUCACCGUUCGUUCCCAGCGCCGGCAAGGGGCUCUCGGGCCAGCCGCUCCAACCCACUGGAGAUGAUUAUAGAUAUGCUUUAUACAGAGAAUCACCAAAGUCGGGCCGUCAUAGACACUACACUGCUGCCGGUAAUCUAGAACUAGAGCACAUGCAGGAAGCCAGUGAGAUAGUUAUGCUUUAGGCUAAAAUGUGCAAGUUGUUGAGGAUUUUCUCCAAUGACACUGACACAAGUGGUUAGUCUGUACCAUGGAUUAUACCUGAGCAUGGUCGCAUCAGUGCCCAUGCCUCCUCUUCCCUUCCAAUCAAUGGACUCCCAUCUCCUCCCAAGUGCUGAUAGCAAGUUCAGCAGCCGUCGAACGGGGAGCCCAGGGACUAUUGGUGCAAUUUCAUCUUCCCAAUCUUCUCAAGUCCAGGCAGCGUUGUCUGGGCCAAACCCAAUCCGCACCUGCUUUCCUCAUAGGACGGCCCACGGGUAAUCCGGUCUCGGCUGACGGAUUUUGUUUCUUCAACGGGCCCAACAACGGCUUCUUCCUUCAUUUUUCAGACCACUGUUGCCAGUCACCAACCACCUCUGAAUGAAGAAAUCCCCCGCAGAAGAAACCACGAGUCAAACUAUUGUUUUUCACUCACUUGCGCUGGACUUGGCUUCCAUUCAAACCAAAUGGAUAUCAGUAUCAUCAUGUCGGAUCUAGCAGCUGGCGUCAAACAAAAUCUCACGAACUGCGGAGAGCACAAGAGUGACAGAUCCAUAAUCCAUUUACUGUCAGACGCAGACGAGACCGAGAACAACGACCAGAUCACAUUAUCCUCUCCGGUUCCAUUCAGUCUUCAGCUGCCGGGGGAGCCAAAAUAAAAUAUUGGAGUAGGUGAGGCAUGGAAGUAGCGGUUCAACAUCUUCUAUUCACUACUAUAAUUCAGCAACAGUUGAGACUUCAGACAAGAAAAAAUGCAGUAGGCGAGCACGAAACGUAGCCACGAGCAUCUCGUCAGAUGACAGGGACAGGGACACCACGGCGUCGAGGUGCGUUGCUCCGGAAGAGAUCGGAAAUAGGGGCCAGGAAUUCUCGACCGUGACCGUGCUGGUUGCUUUCCUUCAUCCAAGUGGGCCGCGUCUUUGGAUGGAGCACGUAUGCGGCGUUUAGUUUGUUCAUUUUUUUUCUUCUCAUCAUAAAAAAUGGGAUCUCUCCCAACUUGUGGGCACAAAAGGAGCUUUUCUACAAACAAAGAGCAAAAAUAGAAAUUUAACUUGACAUCAACCGCAAAACUUUCCAUCCGGGUUCUCUUUUUUUCUCUCUCGAAACACAGUGCGGAUGUAGAGACUCGUGUACAUGCACGAACGCUCUUGUUGCUAACCUAGCAUGCCACACGAAUGCGCCUGUAAUUCCUGUGAGCUUUGUUCUAUCGAUGCUGCAGAGUGUUCUGAUCUUAAAAUGCAAAGGAAAUGCUGUUGAACCCCCCUUAAAAAAAACAAGAAGAAGAUGGGGGUCUCAUUUUCAAACAUGGCGUAAGGCACUUAGGGACAGUCGAAGUUAUCGGUCAAAUUGCAAGCCGCAUCCUGUUCGUUCGAGGACGUCAGAGCCGAAACGGAAUUCGAUUUCCUGCUCGCAAAAUUCCGGUCAGUCGAUGUGCAUGCGAGUUCACACUUUCCACAGUUUCCUCCUUAUCUUCGUCAUGAUCCCAAAGUUCCAUGGAAAAAAAUUCAGACGAAGCCUACCCAAAUUCUAUUUGCUCGCUUCAGCAAUGACAGCAAAUUCUGAAAAAAAAAUCAGAAGAAAAAAAAAUUGCUGCGGACUCUAGCGGAUCACAUCUCAACUACUCCUAGAAAGCAUAUAGGAUAAUGCAGUUGCUGAGGUUCUUUCAAAAACUAACAAUAAUCCCGUGUCAAGUACUUAAAGCAUCGUUGACGAAACAAUAAUGCAUUAGUAGCACAUUUCGAACGAUUUGAAUGUAUAAUGCUGCGCAGAAAAUCCUGAGUUUCUGCGUGCGGAUUCUUUUAUUCCAAGUGAGCAUUCACAUGACCACAUUUUGUGAUAGCACGAGAGGAUGCAGGCAUGUUUUCUAUACUCUUCUUCUUCUAAACGUGUCGCAUUUCUGCUUUGAAUUCAGCUGCAAUUGGCCGGAUGCAUGGGUUGCAGUCAGACUGACUCACCAGUCUUCAUCAUCCAGCCCAUCAUUUUACUUCCCUGAAUUCAACACUGCUACCAACCACCUCUCAAACGACUGCACACGUGCCAUUGCAAAUUUCCAAGUGUUCGAGAUGCAACCUGCGAAGCUUCACUAGUCCAACCUUUUCUCACAACUCGUGUUAAAUUAGCGUCGAAAAGUCUGCGAUUAGGAAGCCAGCCUAUCAGAAAACGGUCAAACUUAAUCCCAACAGUCUUAGGCGAUCGAGUCCAAGACAUGCAGCAGACAUGCUGUUGCUGCAGCGAUGUCGCAUACGAGCGUCUCAACAACUGAAAGCUCGCUGCUCUUUUUCGACGAACUGCGAUCGAAAGUCGCCGGUCCAUGGCGUCUCAACAACUGCUGAUGAUUCGGGUGACCGGGAGCAGGGUCCAGGUUCAGACACACUCGUGUCAGACUUUUCUGAAGUCGCACCAGUUCAGCAAAAACUGCUCACCAACCGUCUCGCCCUGUCCUCUGUCCGGAAACGUACUGAUCUUUCUGGCCCAGGUUGAGUUUGGGUCAUCUCCGUCUGUUGAAUUUGGACCGGAUGCUUAACUUUGUCAACGACCGGAUAGUGCAGUUUGAAAGUUUGGAUCGAAACAAAAGAAGGGCAAUUUUGAUUUGUCUGGCGAAGGAGCUGAAACGCAUCGGUUCCUGCAGCUUGGCUGUCUGAGCUUUGUAUCUUAGAUUCCAGAGCGACAGGCAUGUGGUUACAGUUCCUGCCUGAUCAAUCAGUUCAUAAACUAAUCGCGAUGAUGUGCUGCCAAUGGUUACUCUGCAUUUGGUACGCAGAAUACUGUUACAGCUGCCGGCAUGAACAUGACUUGAAAAGUUAAAGAGUUUCUUGACCAGUCACAGUCUAUUGCGGUCUUGAUGACUUGAUGUUACAUUUGCACUUUAGGUAUGGACAACCUUCAUUCUUUCACUUUGACCUUGUGCCUGAGUCCUAAGCUUAGACCAGACCAGGAGAGCUGAUCUGUUCUUGUUCUAGGUUCAGCCCAUUUAUAAUUUUAUCUGCUCACAUUUUUUUGGAGAACACUCAGGAGCUCUGCAUUAUAACAUUAAGGAGAAACUUUUCUAUCUGAUGAAACUUAACAUAGGCCUCGAUGACCUGCAAACUGCAUCAUGUCGAGCUGCUUCUGACCAUGCGACAUCUGAGGAAACUCUGACCAUGCAACAUCUGAGGAAUUUCUGACCAUGGAAUGAAUAUUUGAGGAAAUUCUUUAUUUUAGACGAACCUCUUUUAUUUUUAGACGAACAUUUGGGGAAAUUCAGACCAUGCACCGUCAGUAGUGCAAGUCUGCAAUUUGAUGGCAGCAAGCACAUUAGCACAAUUGCACCGAACCAUUCCUUUUACGGGCAUGCCUAUCAUAGAAAUGUUACAAAGAAUUCAGAUGUCCGAAGAACACAACUGCAUGAAGAGUUUCUCUUCGUGAAGAAAAGCACCAGAAGAUUAUCCACCGAUCAAAGCAUGAAAGGUAUAGCUCCCAGUAUAGGAUGCUGUUGCCACUGAUUGCUGAAAGAGAUAGGGAAUAUCUUAGAUUUCGUAUUUGUGUUGAGUUGUUUUGAACUGAACCACUGUUUCCCCCUGAUCCUCCUCCCGUAUGCACUUUAACCAAGUCCCAUCAUGCCUUUUCUGACCUUUUCUUCUGUUGGGAGAUGCACAUACACAAGAAGGAAAUGCCAUUGCAUUGUAUCUUCUCAUGUUUGCAGCUCAUGAGAAGGUAAACUGCCACAGUAAUUCAAACGAAAUCUCGUGAUACCUAUUAAUUGAAAACGAAAAAGAUUAUCGCCCAUCGCUACUUUACUCGAAUGGGGAAAAGAAAAACUUUACCAUCGCCUAGCUUUAAUUUGUCCCCUCCCACACUCUUUGCAUCACCACAGGCGAAGUAAAGGAGACACAUGAUCACACUUCUGAAUCAUCGACCUGCGCAGAAAGUGUAAACUUAUUCGAUCAGCGUCAACGGUGCAGCCAAUCCUUGUGAUAGUGGUCGACAGAAAAAUAUAAUCUCCGACGAACUGAAUCGAAUAGCACCCCAACAUCGCGAGCAUUACAGCGACAUGAUGAGCCGGCGAUCUAACAGCCGAUGGACACCAGUAUAACUGUCGCGAAGAGCAAAGAAAGUUCUUUCAGGUAGUCAGCCAUCCCUCACUCGAAGUCUUUCAGCAGGGCUUUACCCCAGAUAGAUGCUGAAAGACACAUCGAAUAUGAGCACAACAUCUGUGCAGCCGCGUUGGGGUUCGGCACUGAGCCACUAGCAGCAGCUCACAAGUCACAACGGACACACAGCAAGCAGCUGGGGGACUGGAAGGAAAUGCUUUGGGUUUCUUGGCUGGGAGCUUGACAUGUUUUGUGCUUUGCCCGGGCACGAUCAGGACUGGGUUUGGCAGGUGUUGGAUCUGGAAUCUCGCAGCGCGCAAAUGGGCAACUGGAAUCAUGGAUGAGGAUUGAGGGAGGGAGAUGGACGCCGAAAGGUCACCUGGCCCCUACGCCCCCCUACGCCCCCUAUCUCUAUCCUCCUCAGGCCUCACUACCCUGCAGCCUGUGCCAACCAUCUUCUUGGAGGAGCUAGAUCUGGGGUGAUCCCCUCCUCGGCUGGGAACACACCACAUGCUCCUCAAGCGGCUGCAUCGGAACCUGAUCGGGAAACGAACGGCCGAGAUCGCGCGCAGGUUGCGUUGAGAUUCUCAAGUUUCAGUGGAGCACACCAGACGAUGCUCUGGUGGUCAUGUACACACAAGAUGGAUAGAAUUGCACGUGAAACUGUGGCGUGUAAAAAGGAAAAGAUGGCAGAGGACAGCAACCCUUGUGGCCACAACGGUAGCACGAACGCACAAUGUGCCAAGCCAAUUUGCGCUCCGGAUCCAACGAUGACAUAUACUGUGCUUGAAACGCAAGCUUCCUCCCGGUGCGGAGACAGGUGUUCGCCCGGAGUCCCCGAACGCCGCGCCGCGCCGGCGCUAUCGCCGGCGGCGACACGCAACAGGUCAUAGUUUAACCGGCGCCCGGGCGGCGCCACCCGGAGGCCGCUGUCACCUACCCCGAUGGAUCCCGGUCGCGCUCCAGAAGGAACAAAACCAACAGCAACAGGUCGUCCAACCAAAAAUUAAUGAGCGAGCUCGUCCCACCAACCAAUGGCGAGGCUGACAUGCACGGGGAGCAGAUGCAGAGCGAGCGACGCGGCGGCAACAGGUAGCGCACCCCCCCCCCCCCCCCCCCCUCUCAAAGAGCUGCGUUGAAAUCCGCGUCACGUCCGAAUAUCUUGGGGGAUUAUCCGGAGGUUCCGACGCCUCGCGGCCGCUUCACCUGCGCGGACGCCGGAGAAAGCAACGAGAGAGGCGGGGGGCAAGAGGAAGAUGCCCGGUAGGAUACAAGAAAGCGGCCCGGCAACGACGGGGACGGCGAGCGAGGCCGCCGACUAGCCGUUCCUUUCCCGGCUACACGUCUCCGAUGAUACUUGGGCUCCAAGACGACGUCGUCUCCGUCGCCGCCGUGCCCGUCUUGCUCGUGGCCAAGCGGAAUCUUGGAAAGCACCUUUCGUUUUUUUUUCCCUGCCUAAAGAAAGCAGCAGGCAGGACAAAUGGAACCACCGCUCGAGGUUUCCAGUAGAACGCUGAUAACAUUUUCAAAGAAAAAGAGGGAGCAAGAAACAUAGCAACAGACAAGAUUUUGGGAACUUCUUUUUUAUCUGAAUUACGGUCCUUCCGGUCUGAAGGAGGAAACAAACAACAAUGGACAUCCCAUUCACACGGGGAUGAAUACUCGAAAAAUGAAACUAGAUAGCAGUUGCAGAGAAACUUGAAGAGUUCCUUCUUAUUUUUCCCAAGAAAAAAAGGCGAACAGUGGACAACUGACGCAUCCGGAAUAAAAACGUGGCGCCAAGAACUCCGGCGACGACGAGACACCCGACGACUACGACCAUGACACGAUACAACACCGGGCGGAGGGUUAGGUUACCAACGCCGGCGACUGACAAACUUGCUGGCGACUUGUUUCACCAGGGACGGUACAGGGGAGCUUCUGCUGCUUCUUCAUCGUCAGACGGUGAGCCCGCGCAUGAACUCCCACUCCUCCUCAUCUUCUUCCUCGGCGGCGCCGGCGGCCGACCCCUCCGAGUCGCUGCUCAUGCCGCUGCUCUCCCCGCUGGACAUCACCGCGGCCUCGGGGUCGAACACCAGGUACGGCAUUGCGCCGAACGCCCUGGCGAGCGACGCGGCCGUGGCGUCGUCGGUCCUCUGCUUCAGCACCUCGAACAUCACCUCGGGCUCGUGCUGCAUCGCGCGGAGCACGUCGGCGCACGAGGGCCCCGCCGCCGCGCGCGUAACCGCGAAGCAGUGGGGGCCGUCGCUCUGCGUCACGCGCACCACGCUGGGCCCGCCGAAGAGGUUGUGCAGCCCGCCGAGGGCCUCCUGGUAGGCGCCCCCGAGGAACAUGCCCAGGUAGUAGCCGCGGGUGGCGUGGGUGGGGAGCUCAUGCAGCGGCAGGCUGUGCCUCCCGCCGAUGAACUCGCAAACCUUGCCGUCGCUGUCGCAGGUGAGGUCGGAGAGGACGCCGUCCACGGCCGGGCGCUCCUGCAGGCGCUGGAUGGGAAUGAUGGGGAACUGCUGCCCGAUGGCCCACAUGUCCGGCAGGGAGGUGAACACCGAUAGGUUGAUGUGGUAGGUGCGCGGCGCCUCGGGAGCGCCCAUGCCACGGGCGACGAUCUCGCAGAAGGCGUCGACCGCGGCGAGGUGCUCCAGGCCAAGAACCCCCUCCUUGAACUGCUCGGCGGAGCGGCGCUUCAGCUGGUCAACGUAGAGGCCGCAGGUGUCGUAGUCGCCGCGCACGGCGGCGGCCAUGACGUUGCGGUAGUCGGCGCGGCAGUCGUCGGUGAGCUCGUCGAGCAGGUAGGCCGUGGCCGCAUCAAGCUGCCCGGGCGCCGUGGCCGAGAAGGCCUCGAACACCAGGACCGAGUGGUGCGACACCAGCGCGCGGCCGCUCUCGCUGCAGAUGAUGGGGUGCUGCACCCCCUUGCGGUCACAGACGCGGCCGACGGCGGCGACCACGGCCACCGCGUACUCCUCGAGGCUGUAGGCCACCGACAUGUCGGUCUGCGCCGAGUGGGUCCCGUCGUAGUCGAUGCCGAGGCCGCCGCCAACGUCGAUGACGCGCAUGCCAGCGCCGAGGCGGGCGAGCUCGCAGUAGAUCUGCGCGGCCUCGCCGACGCCGUCGGAGAGCAGGGCGGUGGUGGGGAUCUGGGAGCCAAUGUGGAAGUGCAGGAGCUGGAGGCAGUCGAGCAUACCAACGGCCUUGAGCUUGGUGACCACGGACAGUAUCUGGGCGGCGUUGAGGCCGAACUUGCCCUUCUCCCCGGAGGUGGAGCCGAAGUGGCCGGCGUGCUUGGUGCGCAGCUUGGCGCGCAUGCCGACGACGGGGCGCACGCCGAGGCGGCGGCUGGCCUCGAGGACGAUGUCGAGCUCCUCCUCCUGCUCGAGCACGAUGACGGUGUUGAGGCCCAUGGUGCGCGCCGUGAGCGCGAGCGAGACGUAGCCGUCGUCCUUGUAGCCGUUGCAGACGAGGAGGGCGUCCGGGUUGCCGCGCGCGGCAAGGCAGCUCAUGGCGAGGAGCAGCUCCGGCUUGGAGCCGGCCUCGAGGCCGAAGCGGAAGGGCUCGCCGAACUCGACAAUGUCCUCGACGACGUACCUAUCCUGAUUGCACUUGACCGGGUACACGCCCUGGUACCUGGAGCCGUAGCCGGUGGAGCGGACGGCGUAGUCGAAGGCGGCGUUGAGGGUCUCGACGCGGUGGCGCAGCACGUCGGGGAAGCGCACGAGCAGGGGCAGCGGCAGGCCGAGCCCCCCGCCGUCGCGCGGGCCGGCGGCCUUGGCCACGACCUUGGCCAGGUCGAUCUCCUGCCCCGGCAGCGUGGCGGCGCCGUGCGGGCGCACGGCGACGUCGCCGUCGUCGUUGACGAAGAAGUAGGGGGCGCCCCAGCCGUCCACGUUGUAGAGCGCCGCGGAGAGGUCGGCCGACCACGCGGCCGCCUCGGGUUUGUCGGCCGCUGCGGUGGCGGAGGUGGGCACCGCCAUGAGCGGGGCCGGGAAGCGCGCCGCGUCGCAGGAUGCGAAGGCGUGCGCCACAGGUGUCGCGGCGUCGACGGCGAGUGCAGGCAUCUCGUCAAUCAAAUCAAACAACAACCGGAGAACGCUAUUGAGUCCACAGGGGAAAAAACCUUUUUUGGGAUUUGGUUGUUUUUUAUGUGCAGUAGUAAAAUUGCUAUUGGGUGGUGGUGGUGGAGUUAGCUGCUAAUGAACAGAAUCGGAUGAACAAAAGGGAAUGGAAAUCGGCUGAGGAGGGGGGCGGUGGCAGCUACCAAAAUAAAAGGGAAAUCAAUCAAAGAAGAAAACAAUCGAAAUCGAAGGGGAUCGAGAUCGAUUGUUGGGGAUGCCAAAAGAGGAAGUUCUGGAAGGGGAGGUAGAAGAACUCUAGGACGGGAUUUUGGAUCCUGUUGUGAGGAAGGGGGCUUUGAAAGCCGCCGAGGCCGGAGCCCCGGCUACCCCCGCAAACGGAGCAGGCUGUGGGGGCGCGCGCGGCGGGAAGGGUGUCGUCGCCGGAGGUGGAGCCCGGGCACCCCACGCCGGCGGUCAGGAGAGGGGCGGGUAUGAGCUUGGCGGGUCGGCUGCGGCGGGUCGCCGCGGCGAGGGCUCGCUCGCUCGCGACGAGGCGGGGGCGCGGACGGGCGGGCGGGGCGGCGGCCAAUCAGAGGCCGGGAGGGCGAGAUGCGGGAUGGGCGGGCGGGGCGACUGCGCAAGCGUCGUGGUGACCGAGGUGAGGGUUACUGCGGGGCGCGGAGGGGUCUUUUAUAGCGGGCCGCGGCACCCGUGGGCCCCGCCCCUGCGGCGCCGCGGGCCUUCCCUUUUGUUGGUGGCCUGGGCUUGCUUGGUUCGCGGCUGCCUGGCCUGCCGUCGUCUACGCAAAACUCUUCUAUUUUCUCCUCUGACUCUCUCUCUGGGAAGGGGGUAGGUGCGUCGCGGUGAGGUUUGACCCGUUGACCCUGGGCACUCGGGCCCGCAUGUCAGACUCGUGGCUGGGGGGGUGGUUGGGCCCGUGAGUUGCGACCCGGCCGCUUGGCUCCCCUCCCCAGUCGCGUCGCGGCGGCCGAGCCACAUGGCCCCGGUGCUGGCGGGCUCGGUGGCGGUUGUUGGAUGCUAGCGCCGCCUCGGGGUCACGUUCUUUGAUCCCUCCCUUGCUCCGUUGCGUGGCGCCCCCCGGGGGCGGGUUAGCUGGCGACGCGCCACGGCCGUCGGAUCGCCCAUCGGGCGGCCGGGGCCGCGCGAGAUCGGACUUGUGCGGGGGCUUUGUAUUCCGUUUACUCGUGGGGGGAUCCGCUGCGGCGGCGGAAGCAGCAGCGGAGGACGGGGGGUCAUCCGGAUUCGAACGCGCGGCCGGGGGCCGCACCGCGGGCGUGAGCGGGAGGCCGCGACGCGAGGGGCAUGUGACUUGUGAGGCUGCUGUGAGCCCAGCGGAUUCGGGGAUUCCCCUGGCUGCCGCCGCGAGAGGCGAGAGCAACUCGUUUGACCCGUGCACGCGUCCGGUGCCGUCCGCUCGCUCGCCGGGGCCGGCCGCACCGCGCGCCUUCUCUCGUUUCCUUUCCGUCGGCGGGGGAAGAAAAAGAAUGGCGUUUAUCCGUCCAGGCGAGGAGGCCGGGGGAUAAGGAACAAGCUUUGAAUUGCGGGGAGGGUUUUUCCUCGCUCGGCCUGUGGAAAAUUCCCAAAAUUUUGGUUUGGUGGAAAAACAAUGGCUAUGCUGAUGCGUUAUAAAUGUAAUGCACUAGAUAUAUAUCCUAAAUUAAUAUUCAUUUUGGCUUUUCUAGAUACGUAGUUUAGGUGACGAAGGGAAUAGUUCCGACUAAAAUGGUUUAAGUAGAUUUUUUUUCGUCUUUCUCUUUGCAUUGGUGAGAUACAAUACACGCAUUUUAGCCCAUCUCUACGCUCCCAUAUAAACAUUUUUAUCAUUCUCUUUCUUGCAACUCGUUCCCUAAAUUUUUUUCUUGCUUCUUAGGUAGAGAUAGCAUGGUUCGCGUAUGAGCUUGUUGGCUCAUGCGUGGUUUUGGGAACGCUAUCGAGGUCUCCAUUCGUGUUCGGUGUAGUGUUGGUCAGACGUGUCAAAAAUACCUUAUCUGUUUACUUUGGCAGCAUCUUUAUCUCCACCUAGCUCUAUACCUCAUUAUUGUCACCCUCCAUCACAAUCAGCUAUGCACUACUCUCUAGCACAAAUUGACAAACGCUUUGUAACUCAAUGCUUCUGCCAUUCCAUCUGUCACUAAGGGGAACAUUAGUGGAUCAUGACCUAAUUUGUACAUCACCUUUACGAACAACGGAGGCUGCUCAAAUGGACCAAAAGUACCUUGUUCGUCAUGUUUUGUCGGUUUCAACGCUCUUCGCCACCUUACCUUCGUUUCCCCCUCGUUGCAAUACCACCCUCCCCCCACCGAUUGGCUGACACUAUACACCGCUCUCCGCCACAGAUCGACUAAUGCUAUGCAUUGCUCUCAACCAAUGUCCAUGCAACGUAAAACAAAUGCCCAAUUCAAAAUUACAUCAUCAUUGUUCUUGUUUUGCAAGGAAAAGAGAACUUUAUUUAUUAUCUAGAAGCACAAAUACAGUUGGCGUGCUCCUCGGGCAUUAAUUUUCUCUUUGCACAUCAUCAUCCAUUUAUUUCAUCCAGAAAAUGAAAGGAAAAGCCACGACGGCAUUCGGUGGCUUGACAAGAAGAAGUUAUUUGUUGAUCUUAUAUUCCUUCGAUGACGUUGUCAGUGUUUAAUUGCUUGCAUCUAGUAUAACGUUUUCUCGCACGUUAAAAAAAAAAUCUUGUUCAUCGUUUCUAACGGUGUCACCGCUCUCCACCUCCACCGAUGAACAACCAAUGGUCUCCGUCGUCUUCUGCACCAUGGUAUCUCACAGACAUGCCAGAAAUACCUACCGCCUCACCGCUAUCCCUUCCCAACCGUUGUCAUGGCACCCUUCACCGCCGAUCGACCAACGCUAUCCACCACCAUGUUUUUCGUCACUCCCCGCUGCUAAAGGUGGACAUGCGUAGAGCGUGAACUGAAUUUCAGGCCAACCACGGAACGGGUUUUCGUGUCCUUGGAAUUCUGAUGAGCCUUGCAAAAAAUAUACACGACCAAAAAUAAACAACGCCGGGCGGGUGGGGCGGGGGCGCCGCAGGAAGAACAGAACGCUAAGUAAGGAAACGUGGGGCCCGCAUGGAAACGUCUAGAGUCCACAGAGAUCUCGUGUGGGGAGGGGGGGCAGGCAGUUUGUGCAAUUGUGCAUGCGAAAACGGAGGGCCAAAUUGAAAAGAAGAGCACACCAUUGGUGGUGCGAAGUGAAGGAACAAGGGGGUGUGUGAUUCGACGACGGCCUGACGAGGGGCCGCGCGCAAAACAGGCUCCAUCCAUGCUGCUCCAGCAUCAGGUGGUUAGGCUGCGGGGCCCAACCCAAAGGCCCGGCCCCUUCCUCUCAAUCCUCUCCCUGUGCGGCAGGCUUUUCGAGGAGAGGUGGUAGAUGAUGAUGGGCGUCGUCGGCUUCUGGAAAGAGGAGAAUCCUCGGGCCGGCCUCGCCUGUUCUGUAUGGGCUGGGGGGCGUCACGGAAUCCGCGGCAGGACCGCGUGCGUCGUCGGGACGCCGCGUGUCAGCAGGCGGGUCCUGGCCCCACCACGCCCCCUCCGCGUCCUCUCGAAUCAAAUCCGCUACGCUUCGCUUCGCUCGCGUGCCGAGGAGGCGGCGGCCAAGAAAGGCGACGCCGACGUGCGUGGUUGCGUCGGCCCUGACCUCAGCUCGCUCAGGGCGGGCUCACAGUUUUGCCCCUUUUGAUAGCGCGGCGACGCGUCCGGAAAUAUCGGCGAGAUUCCUUCCCGGCCGCGGACGGGUUCGUCGUCGUUCGGCUCGGCCGGCCGGCCGGCGAGUGAACGGGGGACGUGGCCGAUCGGCCGACGCGCCAUCCUCUGCACUCUACUGCAGUAUCUCCCUCCGGUCCAGCGUACCUGUGGUAGUUUUCAGAGGCCGUCACUUUCGCGUGGCGACCGCGGGCACGGCACGAUGGCUGGACGAUGUGGUUACAAUGUUGGACAGGUGCCGUUCGUCUAGCUCCCUAGCUCGAUCUUCUUCGAGAUCGGUCGGUCCUGUAACUGUAAGUCCUGACCUAACGCUAUCACCAAGCUGGGAGAUCGUGGACACCAGUUCGUAGUACGCAGCAUGGGACCCUCUAAUCCUACCAUCCUUGUAUCUCUCUCUCUUGUGAAUCGUUUCUACUCUCUAAUAGCGACGAUCUUAUCGAGUGUCGAGUCACUGACCGUGAAAACCAUGCAUGCAGUAGGCUAAGGGCGGAAAACGCGUGUUCUUCCGCGUUCUUGCAACAUGUUGUACCGUGUACUCUGUACUGGUGGAGGCUCAUGCGUGGCGUAGUGCUGAGGAGUCAGGAGUCAGGACCGAUGGACGAGAGAUUCUGCGCCGACGGGACGGCGCGUCUCCACUCCUCAUCGAGCCGGCCGGUCGAUCGAGCCCCACCUACACGCUCGGCCGGGUCGGUAGGCACGUUACAUGAUGCCGGCCGGCCUAGCUACAUUGUACGUACCACUCCAUAGACCACAUGCUUCUCGAUGCUGCUACUCCUAUAGUAGAGAGUAGACAUUACGUUACACAUGCGGCCCUUGGAGACCUAGCGAAAGCUACAUUUGGGUAGAAAAGGAUGUAAAGCUACCAGCUAGUGUCUAGUAGGCUUUUAUCGAUGUCAGGAGCCCGGUCGUUGGCCGGAGAUGAAGGAGAAUUAUGGAGCCUGCUCAUUCGGCGGACAGGUGGCCGGACCAGGCUGCGAAACAUGGAGCCAUACACCUCCCCUGGCCCUGCCGGUCGCCGCGCUGAGCCACCCAGGUCGUGGAGCGUGCGCUUGCUGGUGUCGCCGCGGUUGGCUCGCAGCACCUGUCGGAUUUCCCUUCCCCCGCGGCGAGCACGGGCCGGGGGAGGCCGCAACCCGGGGCAGGCAGGACGAUGCGAUCUGGCCCGGCGGGCAAGAGCGAGCGCCGCGCACGGCCCGGGGUCUCUCCAAAGUCCAGGCUCCGGAGUCCCUUUCGGAUCCUUAUUCCCAGAUACGUAUACAUCAGGCAUGAAUGGGAUCCAGCGACGAAAAGCAACGGGAGUUUUUCUCUCUCAUUUUUUUUUUCAGACGGGACCAUCAUCCGUGGCUCCUUCCAAGAAUGCCGGGAACAAGAACGACUUGGUGAAAGAUCUCCACGACUCCUCCCAAUCUAGCUACCGGGAGCAGUUCAUCUGCAGUAACCUGGAAAGGGAUCAUCCAUGGUACUGCACGAGAGCAGAAGAUGAUGUUGUGAAUGGAGAAGACAGUCAGGCACGGUCACACGGGACCCCGACCGGCCCUGGGGACGAUCACAUCUCAGCUCGAGUUCCGGCCCGCGGCAUCACACACAUGCUCCGCCGCGCCCCCGUGAUGUAUUCACGUCCAUGCCGAUGCACAGCGUACGUGCCUGCCGACCGGCCGAUCAUCCACCACCGUACCCCGCGCGACGUCGAACAUGCAUGGCCGAGCGCGGGCCAGACGGCUGGACCUCGCCGUCCCAUCGUCGGGACUCGUGAGAGCCGCCGGGGCCUCCUCUGCCAACCAUGUGCCGACCCACGCGCGAAAGCAGCGGAAGCGUGAACCGUGCGAGCAUCAUCGCGUCGAAAAUAGCCGCAGAGACUGGCCGCGGCCGGGCCGUCGUGGCCGGCAGGGAAGCGGCAGCGUCGCCGGCGCAGCGCAGGGCUAUGCGGCGGAGGCCAGCCAGCAGCUACGGCCAUUGCCAUGUGUUCAUGCUCACUGUUGGGACAGGGACACAGGGUACCGUCCGCUCGUGACGUCCCCGUCUGGCCGUUGCGGCUAGCUAUCCAAGCAUGUGAUGGAGUGAUGAGCCCUCUGAGUAGUCUCUGACUGGCGACUGAUGCCGUGAUGCCCGGAGGCGGGAGGCCGGCACAUUCAGAGAACCAUCAGAGGACAUGGGGGGAAUAGAUUCGCUCCAGCGAUUCGUCGCACCCGGCGCCCGGCCGGAUUGCACGGCGCGUGGCAGUGGCACCACCGCACCAGGCUCCGACUCCGCAACAGUCCUGCACCCUGCAACCCCACCCCACCACCCAGGCACCCAGGACCCUGCUCUUUCCGUGAGGUGUUCCGUUUCUUUUUUGAAGGGAGUGAGGUGUUCCGUUGGUAGUGGACCUGGAUCCUUGAUUCUUUGUGAAUGAAACAGGUAAAGUGUCAGGUUGCUGUCUUGUCCGAUUCAAGAGAUGAAUAAUACGAUUGCUGUCUUGUCCGAUUCAAGAGAUAAUAUGAUAUCGGGAAAGAGAACCAUGACGCGCACACUUUUUACAUGGAGGCUCCUGAUGAUCAAUGUUUUCAUGGAGGCAUGCAAGCAUGCAGCUCUGCUCUGCUGUAACUUUGGUCACUAGAAAGAAAAGGCCAUUACCACAUGUCCACUUGGUACAGAGAAGACCUAAUUAAAUCCGGUCGCGGUUACAAAACGUAGCCUAAACCCAGACGGCGUUUCUAGCCCGGCUGCUGCUGAGCGGCGUUUCUGUUCCUCUGUUGUGCUGGAUGAACUAUGACGACUCUUAGCACUUAGCAGCAGGUUUGGAUGUUUAGAACCUCCUGAAAUUCAUAUCACAUCGAAUUCAUAUCACAUCGAAUGUUUGGAGGCUAAUUAGGAGGAUUAAAUAUGAGCUAAUUAUAAAACUAAUUACACAGAUGGAGGCUAAUUCACGAGACGAAUCUAUUAAGCCUAAUUAAUCCAUCAUUAGCACAUGUUUACUGUAGCAUCACAUUGUCAAAUCAUGAACUAAUUAGGCUUAUGCUCCGUUCCACUGACUUAUUUUUAGCACCCGUCACAUCGAAUGUUUAGAUACUAAUUAGGAGUAUUAAACGUAGACUAUUUACAAAACCCAUUACAUAAGUGGAAUCUAAACGGUGAGACGAAUCUAUUAAGCCUAAUUAGUCCAUGAUUUGACAAUGUGUUGCUACAGUAAACAUUUGCUAAUGAUGGAUUAAUUAGGCUUAAUUAGGCUUAAUAGAUUUGUCUCGCCGUUUAGCCUCCACUUAUGUAAUGGGUUUUCUAAAUAGUCUACGUUUAAUAUUCCUAAUUAGUAUCUAAACAUUCGAUGUGACACGUGCUAAAAAUAAGUUAGUGGAAGAAAACGCCCCCUUAAUAGAUUCAUCUCGCAAAUUAGUCUCCAUCUGUGCAAUUGGUUUUGUAAUUAGUCUAUAUUUAAUACUCCUAAUUAGUAUCUAAAUAUUUGAUGUGAUAGAAAUUUUAGGAGGAACUAAAGAAACAAACACCCUAAAGCCAUGAACUGAAUUAGUUUCGUCCCUUUUGCCACCCAUCCCAAGUGGCCAUCUUUCUAGCCACAUGGAACGCCAAAAAAGAGCGCCCCGUGACCUAAUCGAUAGCCGAUAGACCUAAUUUCCCAUCAGAGAACAAACGGCCCGCGUGCUUUCUUUUAAUUUUCCGUGCAUAUACCGAAUCGGAUAGCCCCCUUAUUUUAUAUAUAAGUAAGCUUGUUGGCUCAGAAAACUCUGCAAAGAUGAUUGUGUGAUGAUGCAGCGUGCACCUGCCGCCCGGCUAGCGGCUAGUGUGUUGUACGUAUAAACAAGCAAGACGUGGAGCAACCAAACCUAGGCUUAUCCUGGGAUUCUUUAUAUGGGCCCUAAAGAAAGAAUCCGGUCCAAGGAUCAUCGCACGCACACUACACAUACUGUGCGUAAAGUUCAGUGACGUCGCUCGAUCGGAAUCCUUUGGGAAAGAGCAAGGACGGGCAGUCCAAUGUGCGGGUGCUGGUGCCGGGUCGGAGCUGCUAGGUUUAAUCUCAUAUUAAAAAUUGACGAUAGAGGAGUAUAACAAAUAUAUGGGGCAGCCUUCACCCAUCAGGUUAGUCUUCCACCCAUCAGGCUAGUCUUUGGGGUUGAGUUAGGCUCAAGGUCGGGAAACCUGAAACAUCUCUGGGUCACAUGGUGAUGGGGGAGCUCGUGAACAUCUUCGAAGGGUCACACGGGGUUGGAGUUGGGCCCGAUUUCAGGAGAAGGGUCACACGGGGUUGGAGUUGGGCCCGAUUUCGGAAGAUCACAUGGGUUGUAUGUGAUGGAAGAGUUGGACCCAAUCAGUGAUGGGGAGAUUGUUAGGUUUAGUCCCACAGUGAAAAUUGAUGGUGGGGUAGCUCUCACCCAUCAGGCUAGGCUAGUCUUUAAGGUCGAGUUAGGUCAAGAUCUUAUUGUUGUGAGCUUCGAUGGAACUGAACCUAAUGGCCCCGACUCGUGGGUAUAGCGGAAAGGAUCGGAAUCCACUGCGCACUCUGACGAAGCGCACUCUGACGAAACAAAACUGCGUAUUGGGCUCACGGCGUGGCAUAGGUCGGGCGGCAUUUGGAGAUGGAGCACAUGUCGGCCAAGAAGACUCGCAGCAGCUGCUCGAGUGUUUUCUUUUCCACUGACCACUGUGACCCUGAAACUGAAAGCCACUCCGGCUAGCCCAGCAAUUGACGCCGUAUUGAUUUCUUCACUGCCGAAGAAACGAAGGGCCAUUUAUUACUAGUUAUUAUCCCUCAAAAAAAUUUAUUAGUAGUUAGGCUCUAUAAACCUUCCACGUAGGAAAUAGAAUGUGCUCAGGCUACGGCUGGCGAGAGCCGCUAGCACACAUCCUGUGCUGCAUGGGCCCCACCAUCUCCACGCCCCCUCUGCCUCGUGGGCCCGACCAUCUCCUCCCUCUCUCCCCACCUCUUGCGCUGGGCACGGCAGCGGCGCGGGGCAAGACAAGGCGCCAGCGGCGCAGCGAGCUCUCGGCCUCGCGCGAAUCUCGGCACGGCCACCAAAGGAGUUUGGGGGCAGGGCACGGGCGAGGUGCGCGGCUGGGAGGCAGGCCCGACUCUUAGGGGGGGCAGGCAGUGGGACCGCCGAGGGCCCAUGAAGCUAGGGACCAAGACCAUAUAUGUAAUUAGUAUAUAUAAUUUUCUAUUUGACAUAAUAACCAUUUGAAGGCCCAUCACAAAGCAACCCAUGUCAUAGGUAACUCUCCCUUCCAAUUCUAUUAUAUGUAACCUGAUCCAUUGAGCGGAGGGCAAGUCGUAGGCGACGUUUCGUUUGAUCAUUUCCUGCUGCCACGACCCUGCCUGCACCCCUCGCCCCGAAUGUCUCCAUUGCAUAUCGAAUUCUCUUAACUAUUCCGGUGACAGUAGCAUAAGCCUAAAGAAGUUCCUCCAAAUUGGAACUAUUGAUAGAAUUGUUUGAGAUAAACUAUGUUGCAAGAAAGAUUGAAUGGUUUGACUAUGUGCAGCAUUGAGAUGGAUGUUUUGGACGACAUUAAUCUUGAUACUGUUCUUGAAGAUUUUGCAUCAAGAAAUGCCCGAAGACAAUUUUUUACAAAGCAUUAUAUUUUUAUCCGAGGCAAUCAUAAUGGUUAUUGUUUUUAGUUUUUUGUUACACUAUUGUUAUGUUUUAUGAGCUAUACAUAUAUUGCAAAUUAAUUUUUAUUAUUUGUACUAUAUACUUUAGUUUUGAUAUUAAAAAUUAGUUCAAUGGACUUUUAUCUUCUUACUUGCACAAGGGCUUUCAAAAUUAUAGAGCCGACCGUGUCCAUGUUUGGAUGAAAAUUCAUGCGGGGUAAGUCGGACCUUGGGGGAAUAUAACGAAUAUACUCUAUAGAUACAGGUUGGUUGCAUCCGCUCAAAACGGACGGAUAUGCUCGACCCACUUCCAUCUCGUCAGCUCCGUCUCGAUUCCGUCCAUGUGCCGCAGAGGAGCUCGCAGAGGUGGUCGCCCAGGGUGCAGGGAGCUUCGCCACUGGCUUGUCGAGCUUAUCCUCUGCCCAGGUGAGCUCCGCGGGGAUGAGGGGAAGCCGGUGGAGCGGUGCGGAGCAGGGCCGCAUGGGCGUUCAGGGGCGCGCCGCCGCGGGGAUGAGUGGAGGCGGGGCCGGCCGGUGGAGCGGUGGUGGAGGCGGGGCCGCACGGCGGUCGGGCCUAGGCUGCCGCGGUGAUGAGUAGAGGCGGAGCAGGGUCGCACGACGGCAGUUCGGGGCCGCGCCGCUGCGGUGGGGCCGAUGGAGCAGGGAGUAGGCCGGUGUCGCUGUUGGGGAGGUUGGGAUGAUGGCCAGAGAACGAAGAUAAGGAAAGAGGAUGACAAGAGGUCCUGCACUGACAGGUAGGACCGUUGCUAAUAGUGUUAAAAUGACAUCCAUCUCACCCCUCAGCCCUCUAACGAAAAAAAAUUAGAAUGGACUCAUCUCUAUCAACUAAAUAAGAGAUGAGUUAAACUUAACACACAAAAAUGAAUAGAUCCAACCCAUCCGCUGGAUCUCAAAACCAAACUCAUGCUAGGAACGUGUGCCUCUCGAGCCAAACGUUGCAAACUUGCAACAGGAGCUUGCCUGCACAAUGUUCAUGAUGGUACGGAACGCGUGACAUUGAUACACUCCGAGCUUUCGAUAAAAAAAGAAAAAACUUGCCACACGUGCCGCAACACAAAAAUGAAAAGGAAAACAAAAAAAAACGCUAAAGGUUUGUUGCAAGACAACACACACAAAAAAAAUGCUAGCCAUUAGCCACUAGGCCUUGUUGGGCCCAAGUACUGGGCCUGCAACGGCGCCGUACCAGACGGAGAGAGAGGAAACUCAACCUUUUGUGCGUUUGGGCCCAACAAGAGGACGGGGCCCGGGACCUUCAUUCGUUCGCGCGGGAGAAGUGCGCAGGGCAGACGAGAAACCGCGCGCGCAAAAGCAAAUCGGGACGGCGCAACUCCGCGCCGGGGAGAUGAGCUCGUCGACGUCCGGCCGCGACGAUGACGCGCCGGACCUCGUCUGCCAGAUCGACUGCGUCCACGGCAUGGUCGACGCGCUCUCCUCCGUCCGCUGGAAGCGCCACCAGGUCUGCCCAUAGCUCGCUCGCUCGCUUCCCCCUUCCUUCCCCAGUCCACCGAUCCACUCGCACUAACCCGGCUCCCCACCCCUUCCUUCUUUCGUGGCGCAGGACGCGGUGAUGGAGCUGUCGGCGCACGGGAUCGUGCUCACCGUCGAGGAGAGCGGGUGCCUCCAGUCCAAGGUCUUCCUCAAGCGCGAGGUAAGAGUCGGCCCUGCCCGUCAGGUGUUUGCGUUUAUGCCUCAUCUCGCCCCGGGGGUCUGACGACCCAUGUUUCGGGAUUUUCUUUUUUUUCCCCAGCUGUUCGUGGAGUAUGACUAUGCGGGGGACGGGCGUGAGCGGUUCGGGCUCAGCUUGGGGCUCUUCGUCGACUGCCUCAACAUCUUCUCGGCCCCAGGGCACGCGUCCGCCGUCGAGAUCCGGUACCCUGGCCCCGACAUGCAGCUUCUCCUCAAGUAUGUGUGCACUCUGGUGCUCAUGUUGUGCUCGUUUAAGUGGAUGCAUCCAGAAUUGUGGCAAAACCUGAGCAGAAUUGUGGCCCGACCUGGUCCCAUUAAGGGCUGGCUGAGCCUGUUUAGAUUCCAGAACUUAUCACAUAGAACAUUAGUCUUGGAAAUUUUUAGGAUAAAGCUGGUUCUCCAUGCCUGUAAUAUAAUUUAAGAGCAGGUUUGUUUGUUCGGACAAACUGCUGAAAGUUAUUGGUGCGAAACUUGCUCUAUGAUGAGAUGAAUGACUGAGAUUUUCAGUUUCCUAUGACCAUCUUGACCUUAACACAAGUUAGAACUCCUCUGUUGAUUUUAAGAUGUUUUAGUGGCUGCAGGGAUGAAUUUAACUUAAACCAGAUUUAAACAUAUGGAAUUUUGCCCAUUUGAGGGACUCUGGUAAUGUCAAUGCAGAUCAGUGGACUCCCCAGAUGCAUGUCUGUAUGCAGAAAUCAGAACCAGAAUUCCAGACACAAUCUCCUGGGAUUACAAUUUUGAGCAUGAUGGGAAUACACCAGUCACUUUUACCGUUAAGGUACUCCCAAUGCAUUUGUAUCUAUUUGUUCGCACUACACACCAAAUGUGUUUUAGUUUACCAGGAAUACGUGAUUCACUGCCUGAAAUUUCAGUCUGCCGUCCUGAAAGAAACAAUCGAUGACCUUGAAUGGCCAGGUUCCAGCAUUCAGAUUCGAAUGCAACCAGAUCCUCCAACAGUUGUUUUCAAAGGUGAAGGUCAUGGCGACUUGCAGGUUUGCUACAAGUUGGCAUGUAUUGUUCACUUAGCUUCCAGUUGUGCUUAUAACUCACUGUUACUUGCAUGCUUUGGUAGGUCGAGUUCCCCUAUUAUGCAAAUACUGACCUUCUAAUCGUGUUCCAAUGUGACCGUGAAGUGUCUUACAGGUAAAUUUCUUGUGCCUAUAGGCUCAAAUGGUAUACUGCUCUCUGCUAAUUUGCGGUCCGUACUGUUUUCUUCAAGGUAUAAAUACAAGUUUCUUCGUGCAACUACCUCAAAUAUCCCCAGUAGUGUCAUGAAGGAGAAUCGUAGGACUAAGGUCACAAUUGGAAGGGGAGGGAUGCUGAAAAUCCAGCACCUGAUUUCACUUGCCAGGCCAGGUAUGCCAUACUUCCGUAAUAUUGGUGGAGGAACUGAACAGACAAGCCGAAUCGCUCACAUAGAAUUCUUUGUGAAGCCAGAAGAAGAUGAUAAUGAUGCCUAGCAUUUGUGGAGUGUGUUAUUGGUCUGUUUCAUCCAGUAGAGCUAGUUUAUCAUCGCCUUAAUUACUAGUUUCAGCUCUCUUUGGAUAAACUCCUAGUUUGAGUAGUUUAUGUGAAACUGAACUCAGGUGUCAGGUCUUAGUUUCUGAACUGGCUACAGUCAGGCAGUCAUCCUGUUACUAAUCAUGUGAAUCGUGUUACAAUCAGACAGGCAUCAUGUUGUUCCUAAUCAAGUGAACCACAAGUUUCUGUCUUUGGAUUCGCACCUAUAUCCUUUUAUUCUGCAGCUUUUUAUCAAAAUGGAACAAAAUGUUCAGCACUUCAAUAGUGGUUCAGCCCAUAUUGAUAUCUUCAGCAAUUCGGCCCAUAAAUACAUGGGUCAGCAAGGCUAAUGAUAUCAAUAUGGGCCUGAACCACUGGCGAUCAACCUAUGAAAGCAAAUGCUUCUGUUAUGUCAUGCCAUAUUUUCCAAAAGUAAGCCGUACUUUAGUGGAAGGUGGUUCUGCUUGUGUCUUUGUCUCGUCAUAACCUCCCAUUGCCAUCGACGGGCCCCCAACUAAUCUGAGCUCUCUAGUACAAAAGCUAGGCAGCCUUUGAAUGGCCUGUUGAUCAAUUGUUACCCAUUCCCAUCCUAGAACUGUGUCGCAACUGUUCUUCCUGUCCCCUUUACCAUUGUUUCCUGGUUUUUUUUUUGGCAGCUCGUACAGUAUGUUACUUGUUCAAGUUGUUAUUCUUGCACUGUUGCACAUCAUAACAACUGAUCAAACAAGAAGCACAUAACGAUGCAAAACAUGUGAACUAUACAUUAUUAACCAUGAGAAGAAUGGCAAAUAAGAUUUAUUGUAGCCGAGCGCAAAGCAAAGGUCGGCAGCAUGGCUUGCUUGUAUCACUGAACAAUCUUUAUUAACCAGUGAAAGGUCCAUGGAAAAGGACUGCUGCUUUCUGUUGGAAUCCUGUUUCUUGUAGCUUAAUUGUUAGAGGAAAUAUCUACCUGACUACCUAGUCCUUAUUACCUUAACUUGGCAACAUGGGAGAAGUGGCAGCUCCAACGGACCGAAUUUAUCAAUGCCAGAAGUGUGAAUACCCUACUCAACCUUCUGAGAGUGGAAGUCUGAUCCUGGACAGCGCCAAUCUCCUUCGCUUUUCUGCUUGCCACUCUGAAUGCAUGCAAGGUAAAGAAAGAAAUCUUCUCCUCCUACCAUGUGACCUCUCAGACUUGAUUACUGCACUCUAAUACUAAAAGAUUGCUGGUAGCUGAGGUAAGAGCUGAUUCUGAUUGCCUCUAUGAGAUUGUUAAAUCACCAGAGGGUACGCCCUUGUGCUUUCUUGUGAAAUUGCUGUCCCAGUUGAGUACUCGAGUGACCCAAACCGAGAGAGGGCUGCUAUGAGACGCAUGUUCCUGUUGAGCAUUGAGUUGGAUGUACCUAAUGGCGUUUGUCCAUUCCUGUGACCGCGAAAUGGCAUCUGAUGUCACAAGAUACCCACCCACCCUUGAGGCGCAUAUUAGGAAAGCCCCCAAUUCUGUCGAGAGAAUGAGCAUUAUGGUGGGUCACUUAUUCGUGGGCGGCUUAAAUCCAAAUGAUUAAUGAGACAUGCCUCCCCGUGAUUUGAACACCAUGCGAAAUACUCCUAUGAAGACCCAACCUUUUGAGGGCAGUAAACUGGUUGCCAUGAUAUGAGUAAUUGCAUGCCAAUUUGGCUAUCCGAAACGUCGGUAGUAAUUUAUAACAUGGAUUUCUCUCUGUUUACUCGUUUUGUGAUGCAGUGGAACUCAUCUGGAUAACUCAAAAGAGCAUUAUUGAGAAAAAGAGUGGCAGAAAUUCGUUGUUUGUCAGGGGUAUAUUGUUUUGGCCAUGAUCAAGCUGAGCACAUUUUGGUAGUGUAGUGGGCAAGUGUAGAUCCAAGUGUACAGGUGCAGGGUCCAUAUCAUAGGCGUGAGUGACGCCAGGUGCCGUACCAUCCUGUGUUCCGGUGUUCCUGGCUGUGUCACUUUCACCAAUCAAUAUCCAUCGGUGACCACAAAAAUUAGGUACCCCAUGCUCUCUCCAUCGCAUGCGUGUCCAAACUCCAAACCCAAACGGUGUACCCGUAGGCCGUAGCUAGCUCACCUGCUCAGGACAAGUUUGAAUUCAUGGAAAUUAGGUACCCCAUGCUCUCGAUCGCAUGAACCCUUGUUUACUUCCCUCCAAAAUCCCAACUUUGACACUAUGCAAAAAGAAGAUUCUCCGUCACAUCAAACUUGCGGUACAUGCAUGUAGUACUAAAUGUAGAUGAAAUCAAAAACUAAUUGCACAGUUUUGUUGUACUUUACGAGACGAAUCUUUUGAGCCUAAUUAGUCAAUGUUUGGACAAUAAUUCACAAAUACAAACGAAAUGAUACAGUUGCGCAUUUAUGGAAAAAUGAUAAUUUUACCACUCCUAAAUUGGGAACUAAACAAGGCCUGAGUUUUGCCCAGAUUAACGGCCUGUUUCAAACAUGUACGGGGCGUGGGGCCCAGAUGUCAACCCCACGGUGCACGGCAUGUGUUGGCACGUCGGUCGUACGUGCCGGGUAUGGCAGCUGUACUUUCCAGCUGCGACGACGUCGAAGACGAAGCCUCAUCUCUGCGGCACGGCAGGCUCCAACCUCUUCGGGUGCCAUUAAUGGCCGACCCGGCUGCAAUCAUCGCGCUCCAUAGCAGCCCUCCUCCGAUCUCCCCAAUGGCGUCGCUUCGACCGGAGUUCCUUGAUGCGCCUGUAUGUGUAUUGUCGUGUCGGUUGGGUUGGACAUCUUGUCAAAACCAUUCCAUGUUCUUUUGCCGCCAAAUUUCGUUCUUGGUUAACGUACACAAAGACAGCAAUUAAGUAGAGCGACGGAGCGAGUAAUCACGAUCGAGCAGUUCUACACGGUACUUCAAUCCUAGCUAGCAGCAGCAGCAGAACGGAAGGAGCAGCCAUCCCCAUCAUCCACCGCACUUGGAGGAGAAUUGAACAACUGCACUACUACCUUAUAUGAUGCAAAAAAUGGGAGCGAUCUCCAAACCCUAACCACACCCCAUACUAAAACUAAACCGAUCCAUUCAUUCAUUCAUUCAAAUCCAAGAUAGGGACGUGACACCAUAGAUCGAUCGAGCACAUUAUGCAAAUCACAGGCUCGUGACCCUCUCGUUAGGCUCCUCGAUCGCUUUAGGCUGGUUCGGUGAGGCAUUGAUCGACGACGAUGCAAUUGAUCGUGGGGAAUCAGUAUGAGUUGGGCCGGAGGCAUAAUGCAUGGAUCAGCUGGCCAAUAAUUGUACUUGGCACCUACAGAUGCAGCUCUUUCUCAGUCACAUAACAUGCUAUCGCGGACUAGUACUGUGCGCACCACGGCAGGUGGCGCUAAUGGCGCUUCAAUUCGCCGGCCGGGAGGUGCCCACUGCAUGCGUGCGUCGUCUACUGUACAGAGAUCCAGGAGACGUAGGCGUCGGUUGCACCAGGAUGAAGUCACUCAUCGUAUAUAGGAGAUGCAUCGUGCAUGGUUUCAUGUUCUGUGGUUACACGAUGUGAUCUAUGCAACCAUAAGUUUUGUGAUACACGGGGCUAUGUUUGGAACGCAGGAAUUUCAUGAUGAUUUUAAUAAUUUUCAAAAGCCCGGAGCAUAUUUUCAAUUUUUUUUUCAAUACAUUAGUGUGCCUUUUUUAGCUGUGUACCGUGUGUGCACGCGAGUCGCCGUGUGCCGUACUGCCGUGGACCAGACAAAGCCAAGCCAACAGGACAACCGGUGGAUGACCGACCAAGCUCCUUCUUUGUGCAGGGAGGAAACAAAAGUCUCAGGGGCCUGGACAACCGGGGGGGCCACAAGAGGCCAUCGCUUUCUCGUAUAUACACCAUAUUUGUAUACAUGUACAUGUAUAUAAAUAAAAACUCCGAUGCAUGCAAUUGUGUUCUCUCUAUCAUCAGAACGGAACACGAGUUCAUCUGCAAUUCCGGCCUCUUAAAUGGGAGGGAGGGAAGGUGCUAAGCAUGGGGCAAGCAAUGAGAAGAGAGACGAUAGAACGAGGGUUGAAAGCUAGUGGUCAAUCGUCCUGGAGACACGGGUGGUUACGCAGCACAUCGAUCAGAUGAGACGAGACAGACGAGGCCCUUGCUUUCGGAGCUCAUGCCGGCAUUGCUAGUUGCUAGCCUCUCUCACCCUCUGUCCGGCCUGUGCCCUACCACCAUUUCCAUUCCACCAUGCUUGCCCACGCCCGGCUACUUCAACCAGACACUAGUAGCCUUUGUUAUCCCUGCUCUCGGUAACCUAAUCACAACUCUGCAAGAAAGAAAGCAUACAAUUUUGAGGGGAAAAUACAGGGAGAUGCAGUGUUUAUAGGGGGUUAGUGCAGCCGACAAUGUGGCUGGUUGCAGAGCUGCCCAACCUCGCCGCCGGUGAACAGCAGCACAUAACAGGAGAUCACUGCAAGUUUGUACCGGUAGGGUUCGUUCUAGCGUGUAGGUAACGUAAUUGUCGACACCUUUCCCGGUUUCCUCACCUGGGCAUGAGAUAUGUGAAUGUCAGGUGUUCACCCAAGCUCCAUAUGUGUGUUUCCGAUGACAUUUUGUUGCAUGGAGGAAUCUUGCAUGAUUUGAUUCUGGUAGGAAUUCCCUGUUCCUGCAAACUGAGAUCGACUUCAUGCAUGUUGCUCUGCUCCUCUUUGGCAGAGUCCUGCAGCCGCAGGGGUCUGCCAUGCAUCUAAAAACAUCCUUUUGCUUGGUUCUACAAAUCAGUUCAUGUAUGUACCCAAGCAAUGGUUGCACAUGUAGCUCAGUUCAGCACUUCAUUCAGUCUGUCUGAUGCACACCGAGUAUUUCUCACCCCCCCCCCCCCCCCCCCCCCCCGGACCUGAUGAACAUAAUAACUUUCUGUUGAACUUUGCAUCAGUUUAUUGGUUGUGUAACCGGACAGCUAAUGAUGGCGUGCUUAUAUAAUAAUUAAACAGGGGCAUGGAUGCUUUGCUGAAAAGAUAUGAUCAUGCUGGUAAUCAGCAAUACCCAGUGACCCCAAAUUAAAUGAGGCCACCAACAAACAAGAACCCGUUAGGACAUGCUACUGCUACUACAUGGCGUAUGAUUGGUUUCCGGUUUAGUCUCCUCGCCUUUUCCAGAAUAUUUCGAGAUUAAUAUGAACGCAAUGUCUAGCUGAUCUGGCUAGUUCUCAUGAAUAUAAUUGAAAGGAAAUGUCAGCAUCAGUGAGCUGAGCACCCGAGUAACAGUGCUGCCAAUAAAUGGCCUAGAUUAUUAGCACAGGGGGAAAAAAUUCCAAGAUAUGCCAAAUGAUAUGCCAUUACAAGGUACUGCUGUAUAGUUGGUAAAUAAAACAAAAUUUCCUUCUUUAAAAAACAUUUUUUUCCUGAACAAUUUUAGUUGGUGGACAACACAUGGCCAACCCCACAAUUAAUGUCCAGAAUGAACUGAAGGGUUGCAAAACAGGACAAUGAGAAUGGAAGUGCAUAUGAAUAGUGGUGACCUCCUUUUGCAUUUACCAACAAGUUCACCAGAUGCCUUCCUGCUGGCUCAAUUUUACUUGAAUCCCUGCUAGCCGCCGGAGACAUGAUGAUGUUCCAUCAUUUUGUGUUAUCUCUCACACCAGCAUUCCUGAUUAUAUUUCUCCUACUAUUACAAGAAGUCUAAUGAACAUACACAUCAUCUGUGAAAUAAUGUGAAGCCUAUGUUGUUGUUGCUUCCAAGCAAGAAAAAAGCCAUAGCAGAAUCCCUAACAGUGCCCUUAACAGUAUGCAGUUAUGCAAAGUGGGGAUCUCACAAGAGACAGCUACAUACAUCAAGAGCCCAAGAGACAAAAUUCUCAACAGAUGCAUCAUAUACACCCACCUGUACACGCAUGGUACCACAUGAUGUUUCAAUUCAAGGCAUGGAUCGAUCCAUCAGACCACUGCUGCUCGUCGCAACGGGGGAGCUAUCCAGCCACCGGAUCAAUGCAACGGAGAUUAAGUCUGACGACGAAGAGGUAAAGAGUACCUUGCAGCCAUGCUCAUGCUAUUAAUCCGAUCAUGGGUUUCAGGUUCUCAGCAGGGACGAAGAGCUUCCAUCACGCACGCCCAUGCUGUGGCAGAGUCUACGAGAUAUCAGAUAGGCCGGCGUCGUCUCCAGGAUCGCUGUGCAGCUUACGGAUAACCGCGUCGUAAUUCGCUUUCACCGAUCGAUCGGUGCGGAUCGUUCCUGAUGAUCAUCCGGUCGCUUCGGCCGACCACGCUCUCUUCAUCCAUCCACAGAUCAUACAGACCCAGAAAUGGUUCCAUCAGGUCGGUCGGUGUCUUUGGACCAUCGGCGUUUGUAGCAGCACAGUCGGCUGUGCCGCCCCAUGCUAUCUGAAAAUGGCACCGGCCAUUCAGCCUUGUUCGGUUGCUGUCUCGCUAUAGGCGUUCACCGCCGUGCAUGCCUCCAGAUUUUAGCAAUGUUUUCUGAACGAGAGAUUGUGUUGUAUUUUGUACCAAUGUUUGUCACUGGUAGUUCAUCUUCUUUCUAUGAGCGGUGGAUGGAUAUGCUCCAUGUGCAGUUGCGGCAGUGCGGUUGUCCUUGAAAUAUAGCAGAGUUGUUUCUUAUCUGUACAAAUGGAAUUCUUUCUAGGUAGCAACCCAGGGAACAUUUUUCUAUCAAGUCACUCACUUCCUUCGGUCAGUGUGGCUGAAGCAUCAGAACCUCUCUGAAACGCAUGUGGGCGUACCAACUUUUAUCGGCGAACAGGUGGUCUUGCCUGCAUCAAGCAUAAAGGCAAGCAACCAACUCCAGGCAUGGAUACGAACGUGUCAGCUCCGCAACACAGGGCCACAGUGCAGACUCGACGAUUCAUCAACUCCAAAGUCCAGGAUUGAGAUGAAGCGACAACGACUAACCGAGGCCCGCCCUGUACGUGGCGAUUUCUUCCACAGCCAACCACUAGUUUCUCCGUCCUCGAUCGAUCAGCGCCGGGCCCGGGCCCGGAGGGGGAUUCGUCGUUUCCAGCGUCCCCAGACCGGAAGGUCCCCGCCGGCGGGCGGCGGCUGCGUGCACGGAAUGCAACUUGAUCGGCGCCGGUGGCUCUGAUGUCACCAGUCACCACCAUGCCAUUCAGCAGCUUCUUCUUCUUCUUCUUCUUCUUGACAAAGCGAUCCAGCAACUUUGUGACACUCGCAAUGAGUCAGUCACAGGCCACACGCCCGCGCACCGUCCCUAGCUUCCACCUACAUGGUGACCACAACGAUCGGGGUUCCCCUCGCCAGUGACGCACGGCGCGGCAGUGCCAGGCUGCCUGCAUGCCGAUUCAACUUGGCAUGGACCAUGGCCCACGCGGUGUUGGUUCGGGAGGCCGGCCGACGAGACGACGACGACGACAAUGGCCGAGAGAACGCCGACUAGUCAACCUGACCGACGGGUCGCCGGAAAGGGGAGACGGACGCGAUGACCCGGUCCGCCUGCUGCCAUCCGCUGCUGCAAAUGAUGCCCCGACCCCCGAGCUCACUGACACUGCCUCUCGGUGCCCGGCGGCUCAACCCGUGAACCGCCACCCACCGCUCACUCUGGUGCGGCUGCAGUAACUUCACUUCCUCGUCGCCGGUCAGGUGCUGCGGCCUGCAGCAGCCACAUCCAUCCAUGAUCCGGCCAUCCCUGACCCCAAAAAACGAAAAAAAGAAAAAGAAAAGGUUCCCAAAAUGUCAACGGUCACCCUGGCAGCCUGGCUCGCGUCGCCGCCCAGCAGAGUUCAGUAGCGACUUUGAGUGCACGUGAGAGAUAAAUGAAUGAAAAGAGAGCAAAUUAAACGUUGCGUGCGUCUGCACAUGAAAAACAAGACAAGGGGAUGAGAGCGCAGUAACAGCAGAGCUGCCUGCAGACAGGGUACUGUCAGCAGCAUGCGUUUCCGUGUGGCUGACCAUUCUCUUUUGGCAUAUGCCCAGUGCCCAGACUUCUACUCCUGUUUUUUUUUUGUAAUUUUCUCCCCCACUGGCCAGCACGUAUAUUUUAACACCUUAUUAACAGCACGUAUUAUUUUUACACUAAAUGUUGCUAGCGGUAGGCGUGAUUGGCAGUGAGAGUUGAUCAGCACAAGUGCACAAGCCACUGCUGGGAGCGUGUUGCCGUUUGCCAGCAGAUACUGCAUCGCCGCACUCUUUCGUGCUCAGCUCACCCGCCAUGAUUUCUUUCUUGGAGAAAGUUCACGGCAUAUGGCACCCUACAUAAUUUCCUCUUUCUUUUUUUAUGCUUUCAGACGGUGUUGAUUUCCUUUUUAUUGAAAUAGUUUAUUAAACUGAAACACAAUUCAUUUUCUAAUUUUGUCAAGAUUUUUAUAUCGUUGACGCUUAUUACUCUCUUCAAUUAAGGUGACACCAGAAAUACACACUCGUCUCCCUUUCUAAAAAACAUGGGUUCCGGGUAAAAACUGAGCCUGCAACUUGAAGCACACGAUCAAAAUACACUUUUUAAAUCUAUGAGAAGUAACGUCCAUGUGUAUUUACGUGUAUUUGUCGGUACGAACACCUCGGUACAGCGUGCUGAAUGACAACCAAGAAAAAUAGAGGCAUCACUUAUGCAACAUAGAUGCAUAUUUGCGACAGGUGAAUUCCUUUACAACGUGAACAGUCAAUGCAUGCAUAUUUAUCACACAUGACAAAUUCAUCAUUACUAUUUUUAUCAUGCAGGCUUGCGAAGCCCAUCAACUUUUUACCCGAAAGAAAAAAAAAACCAUCAACUUUCAACUCCUCUCACACGGUCAUGGAUGAGGCCAUCCAAGUCAAAAAGGAGAAGACUAUAUACUGCUCGAACCCAACCAAAUAAUGAACCGUUAACCCUGGUCCGGGAAACCUCCAUUAAAUGCCGCUGGAUGAUGCAUAGCUUUCAGCUGCUGCAAGGCGGUGGCGGGCGGUGUGGCAAUCAUCCCCAACCCAAACCCACACUCUUUUCUAUUUAACCCCGCCAAACCCUUUGCCCAGACGCCCCCUAACGGAACUGGCGCAAGAAACCACCCGCCCGCCCGCCUCCAACCGCGCUUAAAUGCGCGCCUUUCUUCUUCCUCCGAGUUAAACCCUCGCGGGCGCCUCCGUCACUCUUACAAAAAGCAGGCAGCUUCCCCCCUGCGCCUCAGCUACUAGCUAAGCUAGCUGUACGCAGCCAGCUACAGCUGAGAGCCUGCGGCCGCCGUCGGUUGUGCUUGCUGACGGCUGCCGAGGUCGAGAGAGAUCAUCAGGAGCCCGCCGGGGAGCAAUGCACAUUGCCACCUGCGUGUGGCAAGAGAAGGCGGCGGCAGCGGCGGCGGCGGCCAUGGGGGCAGGAGGAGGCGGUGGUGUUGGUGCUGGGAAGAAGGGGGAGCGGGUGUCGGUGGCGGCGCUGGUGGCGGCGGCGGGCGGCGCGCUCAACUGCGCGGUGAGCUUGGUGGUGUUCUCGGUGCUGGACGUGCUGGACGUGGUGCUGUGCCUGGUGUACAAGCUCGUGGACUACGCCGUGGAGGCGGAGUGGAAGGCGUGCUACUGCACCGCGGCGGCGCGUGACGGCGCCGGCCCGCGGAUCCUCGUGCCCCCAGAGGCGGCCGCGGCGGCGCCGGGGCCCAAGGUGGUGCGGCUGUCGGCGUCGUCGGCCAAGAUGCAGCUGGAGGACGUGUCCGACACGCUGUACGUGCGGCCGUCUCUGCUUGCCGACGCCACCAGGAAGGGCGCCGGCCCCGCCGCGCCGGCGCUCACCGUCAGCCCCGCAAUCGCCGAGAUGAUCCGCGGCAAGAUGGACCGCCCCCCGCGCCCGCCCCGGCAGGCCCCGUGCUGGUCCGACUGUGACUGCAAGGUCUGCCACGCGUGGAGCGCCGCGCCACGCUCGGCGUCCCACCUCUACGUCCACGUGCAGGCGCCGCCGCCGGGGGCGCCGGCAGCGGAGGGGGUGGCGGUGGAGGACGUGGUGUUCAUCCACGGUUUCAUCUCGUCGUCGGUGUUCUGGACGGAGACGGUGUUCCCGGCGUUCAGCGCGGCGGCGCGGGGUCGGUACCGGAUGUUCGCGGUGGACCUGCUGGGGUUCGGUCGGAGCCCCAAGCCGGCGGAGUCGCUCUACACGCUGCGGGAGCACGUGGAGAUGAUCGAGCGCUCCGUGCUGCAGCGCUACCGCCUCGGGUCCUUCCACGUCGUCGCCCACUCGCUGGGAUCCGUGCUCGCCCUCGCACUCGCCGUCAAGUACCCCGACGCCGUCAAGUCGCUCACCCUCCUCGCGCCGGUACGUCGGCGGCGAUGGCCGGAGUUCUGUAAUUUAUUGCUAACUUGCUUAUUUGGCCUUGGGUGACGACGGAACGGAACAUGUGCGUUGCAUGCAGCCGUACUUCCCGGUGCCGGAGUCGGAGGCGGGCGCGGCGACGCAGUACGUGAUGCGGCGGGUGGCGCCGCGGCGGGUGUGGCCGCCGAUCGCGUUCGGGGCGUCCAUGGCGUGCUGGUACGAGCACGUGAGCCGCACCAUCUGCCUCACCAUCUGCCGGCACCACCGCGUCUGGGACAGACUCUUCAGGAUCCUCACCAGGAACAGGUCCGUUCUUCUUCUUCUGUUCUCCUUUUUUUUUUUUCCCAUCUUCCUACUAUUCCUAGUAACCGGUAGGCUAGUCUACCACCUGCUGGUGCUCUGCUCCUGUGUGUGCCUGGCUGCUCUGUGCUCUCGUCUGGCCCCCGUGGGGACAGGGCUGACUCACUCGCUGACCCGCGCCCACGGCGCCAAGUACAUGAAUGCCACACAAUCGGAAACGGCCACUAAGGAAUGGAUUUUCUUUUGUUCUUAGGAAAAAAAACAAAUACAUUUUCUUUCGAACAAAAAAAGGAAAAGCACGUUGGCCGCAUUGAAUCGGACUUAGCAUGGUAGAUGGUGGCCACAGCUGGCCGUGGCGUAUUCUACACUCGCAGUACUCGUUCCUGUACCCAGGCCUGCACUGCACGCCUUUCCUCUUCCUCAUUUCCUCUGCCAGUACAGCAGCAACGAAAUGGCACACUGAAUUCCUCCGAGUUUAAGGAGUUUUAGAGUGAUUACAACUAGAUUACCAGUUCAUCCACAAAAGUGAGCGUCCUUUCUUUUCCUGAUGGGAAACGCGCGCGAUAUCUCCAAAAGAGACAGCGGUUUCAGCAACAUUUGGAGGCUUGCAUUGGAGCCAUGCCAUGCCAUCGACCUAUGAUUAUUUAUUGUUGCUCCCGAUCGCUUUCAGCCCCCAUUAAAUGGCGGCCACCGCGCCUGAAAAUGCCGUUCGCCGGCGGCCGGCGCAGACGAGACGGCGCGUCGUGCGUCCCUCGCGCAGGCUAACCUGAUCGCCAAACACGGCGGCAUUCAAUCCAAAUUCGCACCGUAACCAUCCACCGUCCUACUAAUCCUAGGAACACGCCUAGGAAGCUUGGAAUAGCAGCAGCUACCGUGCAUGAGCGACAACCUUUCUUAUAGUCUUAUAUGUGAUGCAUAAUUGUGCCAAGUUUAAGUCCAUUUAACCCCGGCCGCCGGGAUUUAUGUGAUGCUAUAUCAUGUCAUGCGGCCUGACCCAGAGAGGCAGAGACAGCCCAGCACGGCGGCGACGGCGACCCCCGGCCUAGAUCGGCGGCGCCGGCCACAUGGUCCCCCGCCUUAACCCCCCUCCACAUCACGGUCACGCCCCGCAAUUAUUCGGCGCACCCGGCCGGGCCGGCCCUCAAAAAUCUGUGUCAUCCGCGGGGGAGAUGACAGGGUUUCCCUGGGCAUCCCCGCUUGGGGUUGGGGUUGCCGUUUCCGGGAUAGAUUCGGCGGCCGGCGUGGUCACGACACGGGGUGCUGCUGCGCUAGUGUCCUGCUACGGUGGUCUAGCAGGUUGGUCAGGGUACCGUGCACUUGCCUUCGUUUGUGGUAGCUGGGCUCACCCAGUACCCACCCACCCCACGUAUCUUUCUUGAGGGCAAAGGCUUCGUCUCCGUCUUUUCAAGCGAGCACGGUCAAGGAUGGGGGAGAAACGGUAGCCGGUAGGAGAAGGAGAGUACACUGGUACGGGCAGGGGGAGAUCAGUGGGGGCCUAGCAACAACCUGCGGAGGCUGUCAGUGCCUGCUUGUCCUUUACGGCCAGUAAACAAACCCUGACGCUCUGUUCUGCUCGCACAGUUGCAGGCAGAAGGUUCAAUUCCCUGCAGGGUAGGGCAGUGCAAUCGCAACUUGCAAGUGUGCAGCACUGCAAAUCUGCAAUGCAAGUGUGUGUUCUGUGGGUCCGUCUCCAUCCACAUUGCAGUGACUGAGAUCUGGUAGUUAAGUUGGUUCGGAGUUGCAAGAUUGUUUUUUUAUUUUUUUGUUUUGUUUUGCUUUACUACCGGCAUGAGAUUGUGCAAGUACACGCGCACGCAUGGCCCACUCCAGGCUGCGUUCGGAGCUGCACUGGCAACUCGAGUUUAUGGUGCGAGUCAUGGCCGCCGCCGUGGGCCACACCAGGCCGCAAUUCGUAACCAUGUGAUGAUCUGAUCAUAACAUGCAGGGUGCGGACGUUCCUGAUCGAGGCGUUCAUGUGCCACACCCACAACGCGGCGUGGCACACCCUCCACAACAUCAUCUGCGGCAGCGCCGCCCGGAUGGACGCCUACCUCGACGUCCUCUCGUCGGAGCUCUCCUGCAAGGUGUCCAUCUUCCACGGCCGCGACGACGAGCUGCUCCCCGUCGAGUGCACGCUGGCCGUCGGCGCCCGGGUGCCCCGCGCCCGCGUCACCGUCUACGACCGCAAGGACCACAUCACCAUCAUCGUCGGGCAGGAGGAGCUCUUCGCCGCCGAGCUCGAGGCCAUCUGGAGGAGCGCCGCCGCCGAGUAGCUAAAGCUAAAGCUAAAGCUAGCUAGCUUGCAGUUGCAGUCACCCUGUGCUUCCUGCUUCUUGGACAUGUAUCGUCGUCGUUUACAUACAGCUGGUUAUCAUCUGGUAUACUGAUCCGUCGUCGUCCGACAACAAUGCACAGAAACGGGAGACGAAGAUCGAGCGAGGUCGAUUAAUGGCCUGUAAAGAACAAAGAUGCAAUAACGUCAAUGUUUUACCCUUGCAAAUUCUGCAAUGCCAUGAGAUCACGCAGCAAGAAAAAGGAAGAAACUUUGUAUGAUAGGAUGAGCGAUUGUACGGUACCCUGCUGCAGAGUUUUAUAUACAAAAAAGUAGUAGCUGUUUUAAUUUCUUUUCUUUUCUGGUGGUAUACAAAGUGUCCUGGAUUAUAAUACGAGUCUGUAUUGAUUGUUUGAUUGGACCAACAAGUUGGUUGGCGACUUGGCGUUCAGCUAGCUAGCUUUUGUCACCAACUCAACACCAUCAAUUUGUAAACGUCAAGGCGGAAUUGAUUAAGCUGCAGAAGUUGGUUUUCGAAACAGACUCGUGUUCGUACUGCUCUACUGCCACACGUACCUGUCUGUUGUGAGCUGUGACAUGAUAGACAGCCACGAUUUCCUCCGUCGGGCCUCCUCCUCCUAUGGAUUCAUCCGCCGUUCGCAUAUUUCGGCCUUUAAAGGAGGCGAAAGGGACUGAUUCCAUCUCACCAAUGUGGCAACCGAUUCUCUACUUGUCUCGCCAUAAUUUUCCCGGUGAUUAUGUGUCCGCAUUGUUGUGCUCAAUUGUUAAGACUUCAGAGUUCAGAAUAGUCUCCAUCUUCACGUCUGCAGACCUAGUUUUACUCCAUCAUUCCCCUGCAUCCUCGCAUCGAGACCUUGGUCAUCUUGUACUCUUGUUCAGAAAAUUCAGCACGAAAUUGGGAGGAUGGUUGCAGCACUUCGGUGUCUUCAGUCCAAUAUAAACACGGAAAUAAGCCAUGUAUACAGCUCAACGACGUUCACUUGAAGCCCAGUUCAUUUAAAUAAUGAAGCCCAAUCUAUGGCACGUCUAAAAAAUGUCUCUAUAUGGGCCACAUUGGUCUGAAAGGUCCCUUUGGGCCCUUUUAAAGGCCCAUCCACAUUGUACGAGUCGGCAUUGUCCUUGGGCUAUGAUCCGGGACGCAGCCUAAUGUUUAGGCGCUUUGGCUCAAAAAAGACAAAGAAAGAAAACAGCAGGGGCGGCGACAACGAUGCGGACGCGAGGUCGCUAGACCGCGAGUACUUGAGGUGGAGCUGUGGAUGCUGCACGGCAAGUCUAGUUGUCAACGGAUUGGGCCAAGGAUUGUGGGCCAAAACUACUAUGGUUCCUAGGCCAUAAUAGGGCCACGGUUUUUAUGGCUUCUUAUUGGCUGCAGCUGCUUGGGCUUUUGUGUGACUCUCCGACAAUCAGAACAGUUUAUUUUACCUCUCCGACUCAUCCUCUCUCUCUCUCUCUCUCAAAAAACCCCUCUCCGACUCAAAUCCAUACGGGUUUUGUGUUAAGGAAAAAACGUGCCUGUACCAAAAAUCUUAAUAUGAAACAACAAUGAAUAAUAUUGAGUACCAAAAAUCUUAAUAUGAAACAAUCUGAAUAGCGUAAUACCCACAUUUUAUGUAUUGUUUGGAUUGAAUUUUUUUUGGAGGGGUCCCUGCCUCACUUUAUAAUUGCUGGGGGUAGGGUUACAGGUCGGUUAAUUACAAAAAUACUAGUCGGAUUCAACUAAAUGAGUUAUACUCUUAUUACCAUCCUGCGCCAUAGUUUCCAUAUCAGAUACGUCUCAGUGUAUAGUCCCAUAUUUAGGAUUGUCCAAACCUUCUGGUAGACCCAUAGAUAUAUGUACAACACUCUCCAAAUCCAGAAAGAUGAUAGGUGCACCUACCAUUUGCAUUCUGAAGCAUUUCGAUGUAAUAUAAUUCUAGAAAAAUUAUAUUGAAUACUAGGACUACAUAUUAUUGCACACUCUCUGCAAUUUGGAAGUGGCUACUCCAUGACACAUCCGCUAUGACUGUGGAAGGGAAUAGAGGAGAGACAGAUGAUGGCAGGCGACCAGGAACCAUCCAUCAUAGAUGAAAUUGAUGAUGGCAAGGCAGAGAAGAUGGUGGAAGCACAAGACCUUUUUAGUUGUAAUCAUCCGCUUCACUCCCGCUAUAUAUGAUUGAUGGGGAAUGUUAGAGAUAACAGACUUGUAAACAAACUCUACCCCAAGGGUAGUUGCAAUAGACAACAGAUUAUUAGGGUUUAACCAUAUUCAAUCUAGCUAAACACAAUUGGCAAGGCAGUAAGCAGUGUUGUUUUUCCCAUAAAGAUGAGACAAUUAGACACCUAUUUUUCGACUGUCACUCCUCGUAGAGUCGCAAAUAUGUUUGGAAUGUGGCUAGGAGGAUUAGUAAUGAUCUAAAGCCAUUUGUUUUACUUGGGGCUGCGGCUUUUUGUUGGUCCUUGUAGUUAUGCAGGGAUGAUUUGGUUUUUGAAAAGAGAACUGUUGCUACUCCUUUACAGGUUAGCUAUUCGAUUAUUCACUAGCUCCGUACAUGGGCUAUCCUACGGAAGGCAACCUCACAGGAUUUGGUUAUAGCGGCGUGUUAACGUUUGGCGCAGCUGGUCAAGAAGUUUUUUACCCAGGCACAUGGGUGGCAGUCUAAUCUGAGGAUUACGAGUCACUAGUGUAUUUUUUCUUUGAAAUAUCUUGUAAGACUGUGUGCAUCUUAACUGUGCAGAGGUCGGGAGGAUCUCAAGAUUUUUUGAUUUUUGUAUUACCUUGAUGUAACGAUCUUGAUUUUAAUAAAACUUCUCUUAUCAGAAAAAACUUAGCAAAAUAGAAAAACAUAACCAAGGGAUUAGUUUUUUAGAAUCUUCAUUCAAUGAAUCUGAUCGAAGUUGUCACCAUAUAUACAUUGAUGACAAGCUGUGGAUGAUGCACAUUUUUAUAUCAGUAUCGCAUUGCAACCAAAUAUUUUCAGCUAAUAUGAAGCAACUAAUGUUAUAGAACCAAAUUAUAUCUUCAGCUAAUAUCAGUGUGUUUUUUCUUUCUUUCCCCUCUCGGCCUUCUAGAGGUCGAUCGUCAAGGAAGCAGGUGGUCGUCUGCAGGAUUCUGAGGCGGUAGACGGGAGAAAAGGACACGGCAGCCGCCGAUAAGGCUCGUCGUCGCCGCCGGUUCGUUUCGUUAUCUUUCCAGACCUCCGGCGUCGCUUUCCUCCUCCACGAAACAGACCUCCCAGCUCCGUCCGUCCCAUCGUCGACGGGUUGGUUUCCCUUUCGUCCCCAAAAGGCGCUGCGUCACUCGCCUCUCUCUCCUAUUCCAUCUGCAUCUUAAAUUUAGACUUCAGUUAGGUUGGUGCAGAGACAAGACUGGCCACCGUCGUUGGCGUUACUCCCUGCACGUACACCAAGCAUCCUACGUAUCCAUGUACCACAAGCUGCAAGCAGCUGGAAUGUGCUUCAGAUCAUGCUGUUGCACUCGUCGUCUUCGAAGCUGCAGUAACAUGUAGUGUGUAUCAUCGUUUCAGGGCACUGAAGGUGAUCUUGGGGUGUGCGAUGCGCUGAACGACAAAGCAAGCGUUGAACCGUCAGGAUCCGAGCCCAGUAAAAACCCUCUUUGCCUUGACUUGAGAUGUGGGCCGGAAACCGGUGUUAGACUUAGUUCGAUACAGUAGCCCAAACCAGAAUUAGGUGGACAAGAUGGCCUACAAUAGGUAGCUUAGUAGUAGUGUAGUACAAGUGAUUGAUCCAUACCAUGAUGGAGUUCUUCCUAGUAUGAAGAAAAUAGACCUGAAAUUGUACAUCACCUCUAUAAGUCAAUUGCGCUCUUAUCAUCUCCAACCAAUCCAUGAUACAGUAUUUCACAUGCAUUUUUUGUGUCCUUGACUGCAGCAGGAGAGAAAUAGAAAAGCAUCGUCCUCUCAUCAAUCAUGAGGCUGCUGGCCCUGGCCAGAGUGUGUAAUCGUCAACAACACACUUGGUGCCGGCGAACUACCGAUCGAUCGAUUGGCCCUCUUGGUUCCGCCAACAAUAAUGCAAGUACGUUUUUCACGUGAGAUCGAUCGACCGAUCGGUUAGUUUAGAACAUAAUUCAUUGUCACUUUUGGUAGUCGAAACCGAUCAUCGGUGCCCUCGUCGCUUUCGAAUCUAACGUGCUACAUGCAACAAUGUACACAUCAUCAUGUAUACUGUUGCGUACACCAGAGGUCAAUUACGAGGUUGUUUUCUUUUUGGCUUAUUCUUGGCUCUUUCUCCUUUGGUCUUUAGCAUACAUACUGUAGACAUUAUCCAUGGAGUUUGUAGAUUAUUCUCUCAAGGAGUGAUUAUUCAAAGUGCCUUUCUUCAUAAAAAUCAUUUUUUUUUUGAGAAACAGAAGGAGCACUGCACAUUCAUGUAAGGUGGAAGCAAGCAAGAAUUACAUAGUAGGUUCAAAUGUUCUAUUACAUAAAGGAAGAGCUGCACAUGUACACAUAAACAAAGAGAAGUGCAUACACAUGAUAAACUAGAAAGGUUCAUCAGGCCUUCCACAGGCCACAACUCGCUGCAAGAUAUCAUCCUUGACCAAGCCAAAUACCUGAACCGGUUGAAGGUUUUUUUGUGCUUAAAGAUACACCUGUUGCGUUCAUUCCAGAUAUUCCAUGCCGUGAUCAUCAAAAUUCCGGCCACUGAUCUUUGCUUCUUCAAGGAAUGAAUGAGGCUCCAGUGCCGUCUCCACCAGAGCUGGAUGUCUUGCCUCCUCGUGUGUGCAUUGGUGUCUGAAAUAGCUCGGUCAUAAAUCAAGAGCAGCGGCAUUGCCAUCAAAUUAGUGAAUGAGUAGUCAUGCCUUUGCCCUAUUGUUUUACUUUGUUCUUUUCAUGUAACCAAUUUUCAUGCCCGGCAAAUUUCUUGCUGGUUUCUUUUUUUUAAAAAAAAAUCCAAGACAUUUGACACCACCAGUACUAAAAACUUGUUUUAGUAGAGUAGGUAUUAUCUUGAAACCUGAGAUGGCGAUAUACGUGCAUAUAAAUAGCCAAGACAUUUGACACCACCAGUAGUAAUUAACCAGCUGGUUUUCUUACCUUGCAUCAUUUUGGUAGGUACAUGUCACUCUUUUACCUACGCUUUUGAAUACUCUAGUACAUGCACGGCAAAGACUUUGGUUUAUUUGCCAAUUGCCAUCAACCCCUUGGUGAAUUGGUCGUCACUGUCCAGUAUCAGUAUCCAUCUACCGCCACCAUGCAUGGUCGCCGCUGUCACCAAAUUCUCCCAUGCACGCACAUAUACCGUGGAGUAACUUUUUUUCUGACCGCAGCACAAAACUUUUACUUCUCCAUCAGACCGACGCACAUACACAUUCUAUACGUGCAUGGGUGCGUGGCACAUGUGGCAGUCCCUUGUAUAAAAUUGUCGUUAGCUAUCAUAGAGCAGUAACAAAAAAGCCAAAUUAAAGGUAUGGAGAAGAAACAAAACCCCAGAUCGCGAGAGAUUUUAACGCCACGGAUUGACCGCGACAAGGCGAUAAAAGUACUCGUCCAUGUGGCACGAGGCUGCCGUCGAAGCACCUGCAACAACAUUUCCAACACCAUGAGCUAGCACAGCCGCCUAAAGAAACGCACUGCGAGCUAGCUUGGUGGCCAUCCUUCACAUCUCCUUUUCGCCCUGGAUGGCUCGCUCCAGAUUGAAAUCUCUAUAAAACAGCUGGAGGGGCCAAAGGAACUUGCCUUUUUCCCAACUAUUUUCCCCUUGUCACGACACGAGAGACAACGAUCUCCAUCCAGAUAACACUGUAAAAAUUAAAGAAUUCUUGCUUGUAAUAAAAUUUAAAAAAAUGAUGACGAUCGCACUGUUAUAACAAAAUGCAGCACGCCAACAACACGAGGCCGGUAGCACUAGAAAGGAACUGACGUCACACCUCACUCCAUUAGAAAAAUCAAAAGCGGUUUUAAUUAUAAUAGUAAUUGUUGAGAAAUCGGUACCCCGAACUUGACACCAACUUCCUAGAAAUGGCACCAAAGUAGUGUAUUACCACGUCUUGUGUAGACUCUUACCCACACUACUUUGAGAAGACCUUCGCACUGACACUAUUCUAACAUGACACCACUACACUACAUGGCUACCUUGCAAUCUCCUACUUGAGACCUCUUAUGUCAUGUUAUGGCUAGGAGGGAGGGGAGCGUCUCUAUUUAUAGGUGCUUAUGGUCCUUGUGGUGUUGCCAUGAGGCAACUUCCACACUCUUCUUUACAAAUAUCUAACUCUAGAACUUUCUCUCAUCCUUAUCCUACCAUAUAAGUAUCUUGUUCUAGAGUAUUCAUAAGUUGCCAUGAAGCAUGUCAACUCUAAACUCUUGACAUUUCCAAAGUCUUCUAUAACCUUCAUACUUUGCCAUGAUCUUAUCCUUAUGCAUGUCAAAGUCUCGUGAUUUUCAAAACCUUCUAGAAUGUUCCAAGUAUGCAUUGUACAUUUCAACACUUCCCUCAAUGCAUACUUGUCUCCGGUGUUCGAACUAUUGCAUGUCACUGCCCUUGGAUCUUCUAUGCUCUACCAUUACGAACCUUUUUCUACACUUACCCUCGUGAUUUGGUCUUCUCUUCUUUCAAUUAGUCCUCUGUCUUUAGCUGGAGGUUUUCUGCAGUCUUAUGUUUCUAUUCAGUUCUUCUUUCUUCUUUACUCUCCUACUUGUCCGUCCUCUAGGUGCUUCCUUGUACAAAGACAAAAUCACAACAGGUGAAGCAUUGGCAUACCUGUGAUCUUCACAUCUACAUCCUUCUGGAAGCUUCUUCACCACAUCUCUUGUCUUCAAAUCCUCAUAGAUCACCAAUGCUCCAUCUUCAUCUUUGCCAUGCUCUUGUGGCUCCCCAUCAUCAUGAAGACUAGGCUCUAUCUUCUCAUCUUUAAUAUCUUCUUUCUCAUCGCUUAGAGCAUCCCAAUCUUCAUCAAUAUCAUAUCCAAAUAAUACGAAUCCUUCAGAAGUAUCUGGAUCUCUCACCUCCAUGGAGAAGCCACCUUCUGCAUCCUACUCUUCUUCUUCUUCAAUGCUAGUUGAUGGAGUUUCACCUUCUGCCAAGUCUUCCACGAAGUAAGCUCCAUCAUCUUCAAUUGUGGUAGCUGCCUUAGCAUCCCACACUUCUUCACUUGGGUACGUACUCAAGACUACUUCUUUUGCUGUAGCCACGUUUCGUUCUGAUGCCUCCGUGGACUCCGGUAGUCUCGUGCCAGAUGUCCCUUCUUGCCAUAGUUGAAGCACUCACUUCUUUUUCUCCUCUCGCUCUUGACUCACUCUUGGUCAUCUUCAUUGCCGCUCUCUUGUUGAGCUCCCCUUGAAUAGCUGCUCUUCUUUGGGCAAUGGCUAUCACCUCUUGUCCACUCCUUCGCCUCUCCUUGGCCUCUCAGUGGACCCUUCUUCCUGAUGAAGAGUGCCUCCUCUUCAUCCUUCUCCUCCAAAGUGAUGUUGCCCAUCUUCUUGGCUAAUGCCUCCUGAUUAGACAAUAAGUUCUCCAGUUCCACCAAGGACAGUUGUACUGGCCAUCCACUCACUGCAGCUAUAAACCCACUAUACUCGGGUCUUAGGCCGUUGAUGAUGAUCCUUCUUAUCCGAGCUUCGUUGACCUUCUCCUUCGGGUCAAGCUGAGAUAUCUCCCAGCAGAUAUUCUUCACCUUAGUAAAGUUCUUGUUAAUGCUUAGAGUUCCUUGUGAGAUACCUGCAAGCUCUUUCUCUAGGAGCUGGAAUCGUGCCUCAUUUUUCUUCGAGAAUAGCUUCGCCAAUGUCUCCCAGGCCUCAUUUGGUGUCUCCGCGUCUCUGAUGUGCUCCACCAGAUCUUCCUCGAUCGUAAUCUUCAACACAAACAUAGCCUUGCCUGCCUUGACUCACCACUUCUGCAAGGUUUCUGCGUUCUCCUUCGGUGGAGGAGUUUUCUCGGUGCCUGCUACGACCUCCCAUAGGUCCUGACCCAUCAAAUAGGACUCUAUACAGAUCUGCCAAUAGCCAUAGUUGUGGCUAUUGAGCUUCCUCAUGCCUCCUGUGCUUAAGAGAUUCGCCAUCUCAAUUGACACCCAGCAUCACCUACGCUUGGUCCCGGACAAGCAUUCCUUCACAGUCUCGGACUGUGAUCUCCGGCAGAGUCUUCCCUUAGCGCCUCUUGGUGCCACAUCGAGCAAUGUAAGUGCUCAACAACUGCACCGACCACUAUGAGUACCCCGCACUCACCACAAAACUCCUCCCAAUGACGGUCCGAACUUGACACCGACUUUCUAGAAGUGGCACCAAAGUAGUGUGCUACCACUUCUUUUGUAGAUCCUUACCCACACUACUUCGAAGACCUUCGCACUGACACUAAUGCGGGAGACCAACUCUCUACAAGGAAACUCAAAUUUUUAUUCAGUACUAAAUUUGAUACAAGACUCACUUGCACGCUUUUUGUGUGGCUAUCCUACAAUGACACCACUAUAUUACAUGGCUACCUUGCAAUCUCCUACUUGAGACCUCUUAUGCCAUGAUAUGGCUAGGAGGGAGGGAGCACCUCUAUUUAUUGGUGCUCAUGAUCCUUAUGGUGCUGCCAUGUGCCAACUUCCACACUCUUCUUUACAAAUAUCUAACUCUAGAAUUUUCUCUCAUCCUUAUCCUACCAUAUAAGUAUCUUGUUCUAGAGUAUUCAUAAGUUGCCAUGAAGCAUGUCAACUCUAAACUCUUGACAUCUCCAAAGUCUUCUAUAACCUUUAUACUUUGUCAUGAUCUUAUCCUUAUGCAUGUCAAAGUCUCUUGUGAUUUUCAAAACCUUUUAGAAUGUUCCAAGUAUGCAUUGCAUAUUUCAACAGUAGUAAUUAAGUUAUUGGUACAAAUGAUUAUAGAUAAUAAUACAUGUGUUUCUUCCUAGCUACCACUAUGUCCUUUCGAUGAUGUCUUUUCUUUUAAUCCUGGGUUUAAUUUUCUAUGAUCUCUUACAGAUCACCAUGCACACCUCGAGCUCGAUCACUUGGGCACACGACGACAUCAGCAACGGCUCUGUCUGUCACCCUAGGGAUUAUUCACGGACGUGUACACACGUGCGUGCGAGCGUGCAAUACGGCCGGCGGCCAUGCACGCAUGUAGAAGAUGAUGGAGUUAGUGCGGCGGCGGCGCAUGCAUGUGAAGCAACUACACGUUGUCCAUCGUCAAGUCCGCGUGCAACGACGACACCGACCGCGCGAGGCUCCACAGGUCGCCGUCGCCGACGCCGACGGUGGUCGCGUGCACGGAGGAGGAGAAGGCCGCGGCGGCGGCGCUGCCGGGCUCGUCGAAGAAGGAGACCAUGGUCUUGGACGCGUCGGAGAGACCGUUGAGUUCGUACGCGGCCAGCCGGUCCAGCGCGUCCCAGUCGGCGAUCCCCGACGCGUCAGCGGCGCCGCCGUAGUCGCCCGGCGGGCUCUGGAGUAGGCCGCCGGCGUGCUCGAGGGGCGGGAGCUUCAUGAACUUCCCGUAGAGACCGCCGCCGGUGCACGCCGUCGCCGUAGUUGUCGUCGCCAGGUGGUGGUGGUGGUGGUGAUCCAGCAGCGCAGGCUUGGUGUCGUGGUGCUUGGUGUUGCUGCCGCAGGGCCUGCCGCCGAUGUACUGGAGGAUGUGGUCGAGCGCGUCGUCGCUGGCCGAGUGGAGCAGCUGCGCCUUGGCGUGGUCGCUCACCGUCACCGACGAGCAGUUGCUGGGGCUGCCCUCCAUGGGCGCCGCCAUCUUGGACGAGGCCGCCCCCGUGUGGCCUGUCACCGAUGCGGUGGCGCCGCCGCCGCUGCUCUGGCCGUGGUGCAGGAGGUUCUUCUUCUUGAACACCCUGCAGAUCACCCACCCCUCCUGCUCCUGCGCCGCCGCUUGGUCCCCCGCCGCGCCGCGGAUCUGCACGUACGUUCAUCAGCAAACAUGUGUGAGAGGCUAUUAAUCUAGAAGGUGUGCCAUGAUGCAUGGUAAAUUUUUCCUUGUAGGGUUAAAGGUGAAUUCCGAAGCAUCCAAAGCUGGUCACUGCAUCCCCAUUUCUGCCAAAAGGGAGGAGCUGCUCCCACUGGUACCAGACCACCUAAGCGGCCUAGAAUCACAUGCAAAGAUUUGCCAUGAUCAGAGAGCCAGCUCAAAAGCCACCCCUCACUCAGUUGACCCCGGAAAAGCUACGGAUGAAACAGAGACUACCUCGUUUGUCCUACGCCCUUGUCGACGCGUGCACGAGUCCACUGCCCACUGCCCCGUACGUACGUCCUCACUGGCCACUGGACCAUGCACUACUACCAUGUCAGUGAGUCUCUGCUAGCUACUCCUGCACUACACAUGAUUGGCGGUAGCAGUUUGUACUUGCUCGGUUUGUUAGAGCAGCUACAGCAUUCUAUUUCUGUGCGUGUCCCGGGGUUGUGAUGAGGGUAUGGUACGGCUACGGCGGCCGUGUUCGGUUGGCUCGCCGGCAGGCCGCGUGGCUGUGAUCUUGCUGGUGGCGCGGGGAUUCUGUGGCCGGGCCGGCCGGGCAGCCUCGACCCAAAGACGCCCGGCGCCCAACCACCCCCAGGGCCAAGGCACUGAACCUACCCACCACAACACCUUCGUCGUCGUCCCUGCUCUGCUUUGGUGACAGCGAGUGGGUGAAAGCGCCACCCCCACUCGCGGAAGCAGGCAUGCCCCAGUUCCAACAACCAAUGAGGUCGCCAGCCAUGGAUGGGUCGAGACGAAGCCUGCCGGCCCCGCCACCUAGCUAAUCAAAUGAUUCAAUCACCUACGACGACGUGUACGAGAAGAUAACAGUCUUCGUCGUCGUCGUCGUCAGCUGAACAGCUGCAUGCAGGUACGUACAUGCAGGUACGUACGUACGUACGACGUAGGUAGGAAUAGAUUGUGCUCUGUAUACUGUAUUAUGUACGUACUGCGGCAGGCGACGGCGAGGAGUAGUAGGGGUCGCCGGCGGCGGCGGCGGCGGCGGCGGCGGAAGGGUUGUGGGCUUCGUCGAGGCGGUACUCGUGCAUGAUCCAGUCGGACUUCUGGCCGUGCGGGGCGCGGCCCUUGUAGAAGACGAGCGUCUUGCGCAUGCCGAUGCGGCGGGCGGAGGUGUAGAUGGCCUUGUCGCGGCCGGUGGCCUUCCAGAACCCCGCCGCCGUGGCGCGGUUCGUGCGCGUCCCCGUCGGGUACUUCUUGUCCUUGUGGCUGAAGAAGUACCAGUCGUUCUGGGGGCCCGACCCGAUGCGGCACUUCUCUGCAAAUUUACACCGGCCAUGUCGGUCAGUAAGAUUCAGUUCGGAGCUAGGUGGCAUUGCUCAUCGAUCAGUCAUCACUAGUAGGAAGAAGAAGAAGAAUGCUCCUCGCACCUUGGAUGUCCCAUGGCUCGAGCUUGUUGAGGUCGACGUCGCGGAUGACGUCGAGGUCGAUGCGCUCCGAGGCCACCUUCUUCUUGAGGUAGUAGGUGAGGAGCUCCUCCUCCGUGGGGUGGAACCGGAACCCCGGCGGCACCACCGACUGUCCGUUCACCGAGAUGCUCAUGAUCGAUCACUUGCUAUUGCUAGACUAGCAAGAACAAGGAAGAAGAAGGGUGCGGCAGUAUGUAGUGGUGUAUCAGCUGAUCAUGUACAAUUCUUCAGACGUCGACCACCAUUGAGAAGCUAGGCAAAGGGAAUUGAGGCCGGCCGGUGAUGGGGUACAAGGAAGCAAGCUACAAUGGAGGGUGGUUAUAUAUAGCUCCUGACACCGGCUAGUGGGAUUAGUUUCACCAGGCUAUAGGGAAGUGCCACCAACCAUGAGAGAGAGAGCAACCAAAGCUGUGGACCCCAGCCGGGCCUGGGGAUCGGAGGAAGAAGCAGCAGCAGCGGAAGAGGAGGAGGAGGAGAGGGGAAAGGCGAGCGGCCGCCAUCGGCAGCCGUGACGCACGACCUUAAAAAUCUCUGGGAAAAGCACGGCCGGCCAGGCGUGCGAAACCUUCCUUGGCGUCACGCCGGGUCGCCGGGGUAAAAUCGAAAUCGGAGUGGCAUGUCGGGCAUGGCCAGCAUAACCACCACCGCGGCAGCAACAUAACCACCACUGCUGCUGCAGCAACUACAACAAUAACAGCAACGGCAACAGCAACGGAAAACGAUAUGCGACGCUGUGCAAGCUCUUUUCAUUUCUUUUUUUUUUCCAGAUGGCCUGCUCAGGAUGUUCCAAGUAAGGUUGGUUUUGUAGUAGUGACGAGUGAAUGAUGAAUGAUGAAAUAUUAAAACGGGUUUUGGUUGCACUUGUUGCUGGUGGCAAAGGGGAAAAAAAGGCAACAAGGUUAUUAAGAUUUUUAAACUAGUUUUGGUUGCACUUGAUGGACAAAAAAGAUUGUAACCAGUACUAUGCUAGUAUUAGAGAAGCCAGCGAGCAAAUUAAAGCUAAUAGCUUUUUGACUUGUUCAGGAAAACGAUAAACAAAUGACCUCGCGAGCAUGCUUUUUCUAAAAAAAAAAUGUUAUUGUUGCAGUUCAGUUGUAGUGCGCAAUAGCACUUAAUCUUUUUUUUUUUGUAAAUUCGUCUCCCUCUCAUUUUUCCUUGAUGAGCAAAGAGAGCACAAGGGGGAUGGAUGGAGACUGCAGCCAGCAAUCAACAACAGAAAUAAUUAUCUUUGACAGUAAUUGCCCAUAUUAGUCAUCACAUGAGAACAACAGGUGCUGACUUUUACUUUCAAUUAUUAUCUAGUUAAUAAACACUAAUUAAUGGUAAUGAAAGAACACAGAGACAUAUUAUAUAUCCUUGCACACUCACUUUUCAUGCAUAGUUUUUAUUUGUUAUAUAGGUUGUUGGUUUAUUGCUUUGUGGAAAAUGGGAAUGAGGUACUUGAGAUAAUUGGAACACAUGUGCUAAUUUAGACUUCAAUUAGCUAGAGAGGCUAGCUGUUUAAUGAUGGAUUGAAUCCUCAUUGCAAUGCUGCUUCCAUGCUGACCUGUGUUAUGCAUGUCAAGAUAUAUAAUAUCUCAGAACUAACACCAUUAAUCUAUAGAUGAAAAAGAUGGGCUGAGCAAUUUCUUUGACAAAUUGGUCUGGUUGCCCGUACUUGCAUUUAUAUUUCUUAGAUAUGACCAGUACUUAGAUUGUUUUUCUUAAAUAGAAUGCACCAUAUUGAAAGUGUCUUGUGUGUCAACGAUUAAUAGAUGCCCUCACAUGAUGUAUGGUACUACUCAAUUUCUUCUAUUAUCAAAAGUGGAUGGUUGUUGGAAUUGCACUAGAAAAUUUUAAGUGGCUUGUUAUCCUACCGAUACCCUUGGAAUUGUUAUCCUUGUAUUCACCCCUUAUAACCAUAAGAUCAAGGGUUCAUGUGCUACUAAAGGCUCCUUAUAAUCGUCGGAUCGAACAGCGGUAGCCAGCGAUGGGUCAUUUGCUAUAGAUUGUCCUCCCUAUGAUAUUUGUUUGGUUUCGUCUCUAACCAAAGCUUGCAGCAUUCUUUGAGGACAGCAAGGUAUUGUUGAAACAUGGAAGAUCCCAGUUAACAAUUUAUAUAGUCAUUGGGGUCAAUUAACCCCUAUGAAUUUUGCUAAUCCUACUAUAAUUCCACUAAGGGAAUAGAAAUUCUCUCUUUCAAAUAUAUUAGAUUUCAACAUGUAUACCCUAAUGGCACCAACAAAAUAAACUUCUACCUUUGCCCCUGGUUAGGUUGGAAACUUUUUCUCUAAUUCGGAUUGUUUCUCAUGAGAAGGUAAAAGUGGAGCUAAGAACCAGAGGAUGAACGAGGAUUUAUCUUUUUGAAAAUUUUAAGGUCAGAUGUGGAGCAUUUAUUUUGGGCUCAAAACCUUCUGAUGUCGGGUUCCAAAGUUUUUUUUGCUAGUUCGGGUUAGAAGUUCCUGAUGAGAGGGCCAGGGUGGAGCUUUGGAAUGGAGGUGUAUGUGUGCGUGGUAGUGCUCCGUGUUCCCAGUCGUGAAACCUAGCUAGGUUCCCGUCUCUUGAGGAUCGGAUACCGACCUCGAUGUGGCCUUGUUGAGUGCCGAACAGAACACACACACACACCCGAGCCGCACCCAUGCAUGCUAUGCAUGUACGUCUCCGCAUCACCUACAUGCUGACAAGCGACUGCAACGACCCAUCGAUGGAUGCCCGCUUCCGGCACCACCACCCGACCGGCCGGGCCCGCCUGCCAGCGAGCGCGCGUCGCCGUCCCGCGCCCGUGCACGCCCACGCCCGCCCGCCUCCUCCUCCUGCUCCUCCUCCGACGAUCCCUCCCCGUCGCUUUCGCCUUUCGUGCGCCAUAUCUCCGGGCCGUAGCUUUCCGCGGAGAUCGCGCAGAUCAAACAGUUGCCGGCCGCGCGCGCGCGCUCGCAAGUCGUCGCCGCCCGCAACCCAUCCAGCUGGCCCGCGUCGCGCGUCGGCAUGGCACCAUGGAUCCGACGAGUUGUUGCUACUAGCUGAGCUCGGCUUCCGCGAGAAGCUCCAUCGAUCGAGCUCUCCGCUGGUCUUCGCCGCGAUCUCCCUGUGCUCUCGCCCCGACGACGUGUUUGGAGACGGGUCGAUUUCGGGGCGGGCAUCGAUCGGUGUUAGCUCGCCGCCGCUUGUCUGAUCUGACUGCACCGUCGAUCGAUCCGUCACGAAACCACAUUAUAUUACCCUGCUGCUGCUGACCGCUAGGUCUUCAGAGCAGUACUACUGUACUGCUUCCUGUUCCAGUAAAGAAUGCUCUGCAUCUGGAGUGACCAAUUCGCUUCUUUGUUCGAUCCAGAGGAACGAACGAACAGUUCCCACAGCACAGUGUCUCAUGUCGUGGGUGACUUGGGGUCCAGCCACAGCCAGCCCAGCCCUAAUGCCCUAGCAGCAGCUGCUAGGUCGGUAGCUAGCUGGGCAGCUAGGACACUGCACUAUGAGCCAGAGCCCGUGUCGACCCGGCGACGGCCGCCGAUGUGGCCCGCCGCGGGCCUCACAGAAAAAAAAUGCAAGGAGGCCACCGGGUGGCGCCACCGAUGGACGGACGCGAUCGAUCGGUCCGUGAUGUGAAUCUCGAUCCAACGCCUCUUGACUGAGUUCACUACUGACGCGGACGGUAAACAAAAAAGCAUUCAGUCCCCGCAGAAGGCGAUGGGGAGCCAACGGUGAUGGACGCAUGUAAAAAUAGUUUACUUUUCAUUCAUCAGUUUGAUAAGUUUUUUUUUACUUUUUUAGAAAAAAAAGAAUUUGGACGUGUUGAUUGACAGUACGUGACUAGUGGUUGUGCGUGCGUGUUUUUUACUCCGAGCCAAUGGAUGAUGGAUCGUCAAUUAAUCUCGAGUGUUAAAAAAAGAGAGAGAAAAUGUCCAGAAGCUAGGCACAGGUGGACGUAAACGGGCGAUUACGGGGUAGAUGGGUAGGUUUUUACUAGGGUGGUAGUAGUAUAAUAUAAUCUACCUGUGGAGGAUUUGACGGGGCUAUGUUUUUUCCAGAAAGGUGAGGAUUCGACACAUGAUCGUCUCGGCUACCGGCCGGUGGAUUCGACCGGUUGACGCGCCCCUUUCUCGCAGUAUUUUACUCGGCGGUUACAUCCGUCCACUCACUCACCGGCUAACCUCUACCUGUAGUCGGCAUGUUGCCGUACGUAAACAGAUGGACGGACCGUUUGCAUCUGCAGCAGGAUGAGUGAGGCAUUUAUUUUGUUUUUAUAAUAACCCUGAUUGGUUGGAUACUUGAGAAUUAAACCAUAAGCUAGACUGUUUUCAAACAAGUAAGUGCUUGUUUUAGCAGCUUUGUAUUACCUUACACGUAUGAAAAAGAUCUUUUGCAUCAUGCAUUACCAUCGUCGGAACCUAGGAAUUUUGCCAAAAAAAAAUAAUAAUCAGAAAGCCGUGCGUGGACAGUGUCCCGUCAUGUCGAGAAGAGGAAAAGCAGCAGGGCACGAAACGAAAAAGAAAAUCAAAAGGCUUUGGUGUGAACCGUGUGCAAAUUGGCCAGAGAUUACAGCAGAGACAAACAGUCGGGUGAUGGGGAUCUCCGGUUACCGACGGUAGGGCCCCCAGCUCUUCCCCGGCUAGCUAGAUAGCUGGAUCCCAGACGCGAACGCGGCAUCCGAAAGUGAUGAGCGAGCGAGGCGAGCUGAGCUCGAUCGGCCAGGAUGGCACGUCGUCGACGGGUGGCACACCGCCUGCAAAGCCUGCUGGGCCCUGCGGAUUCUGCAUCCUGCACUCUGUGCUAGCGACCAAACAUGGGCUUUUUCGCCGUCACGGGAUGUCUGUCCCGGCCCCCAAGAAUAUUUCUCCAUCCGCCGUGUCCACCCGUACGCGAGACGAGCGAGCCAGCGCAUGCCACCCGUCGCCGGCCGGCGAUCGUGCGCCGUGACGACGGCGAAGAGCCGGUUCAUGAACCCGAGGAGAUCGACGAAAUCCCCCCGGCGCGCCCGCGCGCGGCCACGGCGAGCGCACGUCGCGCCGUGGCGACCGAUGAUGGCCUUCGUGUUCUAGACGCCGGUCGUGUUCUAAAUCGCAGUGGCAGCUCGUGAUGCCGUGGUUAGCUCAGUGCGCGCACCGUUAAAACUGACUUGUCACACAUGAACCAUGGUCCCUUUAGUUUUCCUUUGCCAGGAGAAGAGGGUGUUGUUGGGUUGGAUUAGUGGAGGAGGGCUUGUUCUAGAGCGUAAUUAUACGGGUUAUUUAGCGCGCUAAUCCCCUGCCUUUCCGGGCUCGUAAUCAUUGCCGCGCCCGUAGAUCGUGCAGACGAUCACCGCCCGAGCUCGACGUAGCAACAACGGCGACGGCCAGGUGAUGGACGGAAUGGUGGCUGACAUGCAGUAGUGCCCGUAGCUACUACACAUGCAUGUGGGGGCUAGCUUGCAUUGCAUGGUUUGUUCGUGGAUUGUGAGUGGCAUUUCCGUGUCAACCCCCGCUUUCCGACGGCGCCACGCGAAUUCCGUUACUCCAGCGAGACACCCAGGCACAGUAAACCCUUCUCUCUUUUUUUUUGCCCCGGUCAGUGAUGAAGCUACCAGUGUCAGUGAGCGAGUGAGUGAGGUGAUCGUGCAGGGUGGUAGCCAUCGUGACAGAGCAAAAGAGCACGGAAAGGGAGAGGGGCGGCGAGGUGCGUGGCAACAUCUGGCGGCCGUGUCGGGCCAUGUGUCCGUCCUCCCUUCCUUCCGCCGAGGAAUUUCUCGGUGGGGUUCGGAGUUAACGUAGGGAAUAAUCUGACACCAACGUUAGUGAUCAUCCAGAGAGGAGAUCAUGGGUCAGCCGGUGGCAGUGACGGACGAUGGAUAUUGGACAGACGAUGCUGCUAGCUGGGGGAGUGUGUACGUGUCCGAACGCGUAGAUGAUGGAUGCUCUCUUUUUGAGCUGAAAGCAAUUCGAUCCAUCUGUGUGCUUGUUUUGGUGUUUCUUUUUGUUCACUAGAGAGCUGAUCGAGCUUCUGGAUAGUCGGGGAGGGGUAGUGGGGGGAUAUCGAGAGAUGAUUCUGACUUUGCACGAGCUAACACUACUAGCAUGUACUGGUAGUGAUGGAUUGGAAAAGGGACGUGUGGUUAACUAGUGUUGUGUUAUGGCUAUCGACGCUUGCUUCGUUCCCAAUUUAACUGCAUGCGUUACCUCCAUGCAUGGAGCGUACGUGGAGCAUGGAGCAUGGAGCAUGGAGCAGGGAGCAGGGCCGGCCAUCCCCCUCUUUUCUCUGCGACCUUUCUUUAUUGUAGGCUCACUACUCCCUCGCUAGCUUUUGUAACAUGCAUGAUCAUGUACUUUGCCGUAGUGAUUAGUUUACUAAUACAAUGUAAAGGAAAGGGAGCAGCAAGCAGGGGAGGGGGGUUUUGCUUUUUUUCGUUUUCAGAAAGAUCUACUGGGCUCACUCGUUCACUCACUCCGGUACUACUUCUCCAUCCAGUCUUCAGGAGCAUCAUGUGCUUUGAUUCAUUCUGUCCCUCCAAAGCCGUGGGGAAUUGCUUUACAUGGACAUGAAUAUCUCAUCUACUCCAUCAGAUAUCAGAUAUGAUCAACGAGUCAUAAACUUUAGUAAAUUAGGUAGCUGAAAAGAACUGUGGCAGUUUCCAAUCUGUGCACGGGCUCCCAUAAUUGAAUCGAUAUCCCUUUAACUUAGCUCACUGCUCACCCUAUGUGGGGCAGUUCAUUUGAGUAGUAGCAGUAUAGUUUGAGAUCAAUAGUACUUUCAGCAAUGAACAAUUGGUUGUCCAUCUUCCAUGGCCAUGAUUACCAUGCAUUUCCCUUCUUGUACUUUGCCAUUUUGACUGCCAAUUUAAAUUCAUCUGCUACUCCAACCAAAAGCACAGCCACAAAAGCACACACGACGAGCAGCAGCAUUAAACAAAUUACCCAAAGCGAGUUUGAUUAGUUAAAUUAGCAUGAUAAUCUUUCCGAGUUAUGACAAAGUUUUGGCAUCAGGAUGGCAUCAUGCGCGGGGCGUACGCGGGUGUGGCCUACACGGCCGAUCAUGCGCGCCAACGGCACAACUCGUGCAUGGCGCACCGGGGCGGAAAAGGGCUCCGAUUCUCGACAUGCAAUCAUCACGGCGGCGAGCACCCGGCGUUCGCUCGCUGCAUGCGUCGACGCCGCUGCCGUUGCCUCCAUGGCAGUUGCCCGGGAGCUCGGGCGUCUCGUUUCCUUCUUUUUCUUCUUUUUUUCCUCUUGAGCCCAUGCAUAUGCGUCGCACCAGCUAGUAGUAGUACGACCGCUAUAGGUAGUAGGUCGUGGACGCGAGCAUUAGCGAGCGAGAUCUGGCAUUAUAUUCCUGGAAUGAUUGAUGAUCCAUGCUUCAGUUGAUUCGCUGACAUGCUUGAGCCCUUUUUCGGCUCUCAUUUAUGUCCAAAGUGGGGGAAAAAAGGGUGCCAAAAGAAUCUUAUUCCCUGGCUGCCCUGCUCUGCUUCAAACCAGCACCUAACGCCCACACUGCAAGAGUUCCUAAGGUCACAUAAAUGAAUUUCGUUGUAAACAUUUUGGCUUCCAGUUGAUUCAGGGGAAAUAAAGAAAUUGGCUCUGCUUGCUCAAUACCUUGGCCUGAAUACAAAGAAGUAAAGAUCAACAGCCUCAACCUUGGUUCCUUGAUCCUGCCUAACCAUAUCCAAGUGCCUUUCCUUUCCAACCCCAUCUCACCAAACGGCGGCCACCAAACCGAUUACCGAAUACUCCAUGCUGCACGAUCAUGGCCCAUCACAACGGUGUCCAUCCGCCAUUCAUCAGUGGUCGCCCCAGAUCUAGGCAAUGCCUGAACCUGAAGCUUCAAGGAAUCAAGGGCAACCUGGUAUCUCCUCUCCUGCACACGUGCAAGCUGCUGUUGCCAGUUACUCCAGUUCACGGCACAUAUCAGUUGUACUACAAAACCUGCGAUUAACUGUUUAAUCUCCAUCCUUUGUUGACUACAAUACAUGCUGAAGUCCAGGAGCUCUACAACCAUCUGGCUUGGCAGAGCAGCAAAGCCAAAGUUUGCACACCACACAGGGAGACUCAUCCGCAGCAGCGAUAUUCCCACAUGCCACCUUGAUAACAAAACCUGGGUUGCUUUUUCUGAAUGGUUGAGUGAGUCAGACACUUGCAUGCUAAUCUACAGGCGCCGCAGCUGACAGCAGCCGGGGAUUCAGAUAUUGGAUUCUCGGGCACUGUAGCUCACUUUACAAAAACGUAGCUACAGGGACAUAACAUGAAGCGUCACCUUUUCCUUUCUUCCCAUGAAGCGGACAGCUCCCACUGCAUGGCUUCUCCAGUUCGCCUUUGGCAUGUCUACCGAGCAUGAGACCCGGGGAGCAGGCGAAGUGGCAGCCUCCAUCAGCAGAAGCCUAUGUGCAGGCUCUCAAGAUCAUCCAACUUGCAGCCCAGGGCUCAGACCAACUCCCACUCUCAGUGCAGACGCACUAUGCAUAGGAUGGGGAAACAGGCAGGCAUGCCUGAGCAACAAGUGCAGAUCAAGCCAGCACCAUCUGGGAAUCGGAUUGCGACUCGUCACCAGAGCCAUUCAUGGACGAAGAUGCAUGCAAUCCUCCCUGCCCAAGCCGCAGCACAACAGAAAAGAAAAAGGUAAAGAGUCAGGAGCAAGAGCAACCCAGACAAGGUAACAAAUAUGACCAAGCCAGCAGGUAGGGGCUAGAGUGCCCAUAUAGAACCAACCACACAGCAAUAACAAACUUCUAGUUUAUUUUAGCAGCAUGGUUCUCCACGAUAGGGAAGCAUGCAAAUUUUCAACACCAAAUAAACUCAAGGCACUAACCAGAUGGAGGUGUGAGUGACAUCCCUGGAGAUUUGAUGUCAACACACCGAAAGGAAAUCAUUUACUAGGCAAACUAUGACAGAGGCUGUCCUUUUAGCAUGCAUAGCUCCAUCCACUUGCAAAGUUGCUCCACCUUGUUAGUGAUCAAACCUCAGUGCUUCCACCGUUAUGACCUGUUUACACGCUAUAACGAACUUUUAUUAAAUUCAAGACAAGAUUCAGUAAGGUUCGUGCCAACAUGCAUGAUAGAGACACCCUUACUUUUCCCCAUCAGAAACCGAUGUACAUACUUUAUUACCAUGAUGUAAAUACUUGCCCAAUGAAUUCACCAUGCGAUCAAGACUUUACUGCAGGCACAUAGGCCUGCAUGCAUCGUUGCAGCUCCAUAGUAAUUGCCUGAGAUUAAAAUCAGCAUCCUUUCAGACCAUAAUCACAGUCACUCCCUAAACUCGAGGGGUUACUAUAAUAUCUGAUAAUAGGUCAUUUUAAAUUAAAACAUUAACCUUCCAAUUCACGCUAUAGAAUAUGAACUGAGCAACUAUUAAGUUGACCUCGAUGACUCUUGACUUCUCUUGUUCCUAUGUCUUCUUUUGUAGAUCCAAAGCAAUACAGCUAGCAUUAAGACCCAAACUAAUACAUAUUUUAUCAUUCACAUUCACAGGUACACAUGUGUAUUUUGGUCUUACCGUUGUACCCAGCACUUAGUCUUAGAAAUACAAAACCGGAACAGAUUAAAAAAAUGGGCUAUAACUGAAUUCUCUUGUUCAAAUCAACCAAGAAUGCUGAACUGGAAUAUAAACCAACCAGGCUUGAGGCUUCGGUACAAGUUUAAUAUCAGAUCUGACAUUAAGCUGCCAAGAUCAAGACUGGGCCAGGCCUACCAAUAUCAUCAAGUCCUAGGCCCAUUGAAUCUGUGCGGAGAAAGAUUGAACUGACUGCCCAUCUGCCCCUAGUUAAAUACUAAUUCAGUGUUGCCAAUGGGAAAUGAUAAGCACACAAAUAUAACAGUAACCACCAAAGUUUCGUUUCCAUAAAAAUAGAGUUAUGCCAUGAAAUUAAUAUAUAAGAGGGAAAUCUAGAAAUUGAUCUUACAUCUACAUAAUAAAGUCAACAAACUAUGUGCAGAUAAAAAGACUGAGCCCGAACCUAUACUAUUAUAUGUGUUUUGCAAUAUGGCAAUGUCUGAUGCCAUAAAUUAAAUCUUAUCAUAAAGAAAAGACCAAAUUAAGAAGAUGUUCAAAGGUUCUAGUCCUCAUUACAUUAAUUCUCGAGCUGUCAGCUGACAAAAUAUCACUGCAUCUUAGAUGAUAAAAGGGGCUACCUUGGAUAAUUAUGUCCGACAGAGAUUACCUAACUGAAACAAGACAGAACAGCCUUCCAAUAACAAUCUACCAUUGCCAAGUAAAACAUCUGCUUUUCUUUAUCCCAGAAAUACGACAGUUCUAACACCAUUUUUUUUAAAACACAUCCAGCAAAGCAGUUCAAACAUUAAUACAACCUGGCCUCUUUCUUCUAAUAUUCAAAACUUGGAUAGACUCGAAUUACAAAGUGAGAAGAGUAGUGACUUAUAAUCUCAGACCUUGUAACAGAGGCACCCUGUGAAAUGAUAGCAUAUAAAAGGGGCAUCAGAACACCUCAGUGCCAAAAAUUUCCACUGCUACUGCAUACCAGGCCACUAAAAGGUAGAAGAACUACUCGGCAGCGAGGUCAAUAACAGAAGGACUAAGGGCUUGACUUGAAUAUUAAAUGCCCAUCAGAUGUAGCAAAAUACGAGGUACUUUAUACAAAGCCUGGAUUAACUUUAAUGAUAAUGGUAGCCCAUAAAGAAAAGCAAGGAACAAAAGAAAACAUGGUAGUCAGGUAGUAUCAACAAAAUUCAAAAUUACCAUAAGUGUUUUGACUAGGGCAGGCUAAAGAGAAAGCAGGGAGACAGGGGAUGAAGGAAUUAAACCAAAACUAGUAUCUACAAAAAUGGAAGGUCCGAAUAUCCUAGCCCAAGUUAAAUUUCAGAACUAUGAUGUGCCCUCAAGCAGUCUGAGUCUCCUAGGUGGUCAUGGAAAUGCCAAAUUACAUAAACUGCUGAGGACCAAUUCGGAGAGGAGUAACACAGUAGCAUAUUCUGCUUAAAUUACAAACCAUUGUGAUUCUAAACACUUCAAAGAGUGCAUCCAAUGUGGAACCUUCAUCUUCCAUAAAAGCAUAUGUGAAUGUGACAAUAAGGGGGCACAAAAGGCAUAUACAUGAGACUCGGAACUAGGUGACGUGAAACUAAGGGACUGCUUGGAAAGGGGAAUUUGGAUCCAAAUCCUUGGAAUCCUGAAACUCUGGAGAGCAAUCCCCUUGUUCCAAACAGGUCCUGAUGCAAAUUACACGACCAAAUAGCAUCUGCAACUCCCUGUGGUGUUUUGGUGGCAAAACAACAUUUGUUUUCCAAGCGAACAGAAGAAACAUCAAACUUUAAUACUCAAGUUAACAUGUCUUCUGCCUCUAAAGAAGAAGGGAUUCCUAUAGCACAAGAGCAAAGUGAAAGUACACAAGUAAUCUUGAACAGGUCAGAACUCAUAAGUACAUUCAGUAUCAUAUGGUCAAUUUCGUUUACUAUGUAAAGAAAUUAAACAUCUAGAAUGAAAACAGCUCAUCUCAAUGAUUAUGGGUAAAACUAAAGCAAAGGCAAGCUGCAUUGCUUAACACACACUGAGGGUUGUCGAUACCCAAUUACAGUAAGACAAAAUGUAACCAACUCCA
RNAcentral lists this long non-coding RNA (72761 nucleotides) under Setaria viridis. RNAcentral describes it as "long non-coding RNA (SVIR_LNC003835)". The record is from RNAcentral. Lineage: Eukaryota; Viridiplantae; Streptophyta; Magnoliopsida; Poales; Poaceae.